UGUUUUUGAUGUUAUUUAGGAAAUUUGAUCGCACAGAUAAGUUUGUAUGAUGUAGAUGAGUUAGUAAUUGUGUUUGGUUAGGAGCCCCGAGGGCUCGGGUGUGUUUCGGAAGGUUUUAGACUUGAAAAAUAUUGCAUGUUUUCCAGUUCUGGAAUUAUGAUAUGCCCUAUUUCGCGUUUGCGAGAGGACCUCGCGAUCGCGAUGUGUAGACUUUUUGCUGAAGGAACUUCCUUCUAUGUGAACACGUAGUGCAGGUUGCGAACGCGAGGAAACAUGGGCUAUACCUUUGCGAACAUGUUCCUGGUUACGCGAACGUGAAGGCUAAGUGUACUGGGCAGGGGGAGGGGUAGAAACCUUACGCAACGCGAUCCAUGGAACGCGGACGCAAGGCUCGAGAAGCUAAAAGCUUCGCGAAUGCGAGCUCCUUAGCACGAACGCGAAGGCUUAAUCAGCCUAACCCAUCGUGAACGUGAAGGGCAAUUUUGCCCAAUUAUUUUAAAACCCCAAAACAAAACCCAUUAUAGGAUUUUCGUAAAAUAUCAUCAACCCUUUCUUCUCCAAAGCUCCUAGGCGAUUUUUGAAGCACUUCUUCACCAAAGCUUCUUGGGUAAGUAUUGUUUAACUUGUUUUCUUCAUUUUCCAUCAACACCCACUAGAAUUUUAGGCCUAAAACAUGUAGUUAAUGGUAGGAAAUUAGGGAUUUGGGUAGAACUAGGGCUUUUUGAUUAAUGGUGAUUUAGACCUCGUUUUGGUGUCGAAUUUUAGAAGUAAUUAUAUAUUUGGACUCGUGGGUGAAUGGGGGAUUUGAUUUUGAUCCGUACUUCUUAUUUUGACCAAGUGGGCCCAGGGUCAAUUUUUGGGUUUUUGGGAAGAAUGAUUGGAAAGCUAUUAUUAGGCAUUGGAUUCUCAUUGUUUAGCAUUUAUUGAUGGUAUGAAGUCAUUUAUGUAUAGAUUCAGUCAAUUUGGAGCCAAAUUGGAGAGGAAAAGUGGUAAUUAAGGAUUGAAUUGGUCGUGGAUGUUCGAGGUAAGUGUUUGGUCUAACCUUAGCUUGAGGGAUUAGGAGGUGUGCCUAUUUGCUAUUUGUUUCUUAUUGAGUAUGACGUAUAGGCAUGGUGACGAGUAUCUAUACGUCGGUAUCAAGCAUGACCGUGAGUCUUAUACUGUGAUUUUAAUGAUUUCGUUGUAUUAUUCUUGCCUUGGUAAAGAUUUUAUUUGUUGGGUAAAGUUGUGAAAAGAAUUGUGACUUAUGAACAUUGAAGAGCGAUGACUCCAGUUGUGUAACGAAUUGUGAAAGUAUAAGUGAUAAUUGAAACUCUAGAGCAUUAGCUCGAGUUGUGAAGUGAAUUGUGAAGUAAAAGUGAGAAAGAGAAGAGAUCAUUGUAUUUCCCCCUUGUUGGUUUAUUGUUGAGUUAUGAUUCCCUUGCAUUGUGUUCUUAGUUGAUGUUACGGAUGCUUAGGUUGAUGAUCCCUUAUGGUAGGUGUUGUAAUAAGUUUAGUUAUAGCUAAAGUAGUUAGAUGUUGAAAUGAGAUUGGUUAUAACUGAAGUAGUUAGGUGUUGUAACAACUUUAAUUAUCAUCGAGGUAGUUAGGUGUCGGAACGAGUUUGAUUAUAGUUGAGGUAGUUAGAUGUUAGAACAAGUUUGGUUAUAGUUGAGGUAGUUAGAUGUUGGAGCAAGUUUGGUUAUAGUUGUUUCUCCAUUUCUGGGAUAAUAUAGACCUUACUGAUCCCUUGUCGGGACUGUUAUUAUAUUUUCAAAUAUUAUAUAUAUGGAUUGGGUUGCACACCACAACAAUAUUAUAUAGAUGGAUGGGGUUGCACGACUCAACAAUAUUAUAUAUAUGGAUCGAGUUGCACGCUGCAAAAAUAUUAUAUACAUGGAUCGGGUUGCACGCCACAACAAUAUUAUAUAUAUGGAUCGGGUUGUGCGCCACAACAAUAUUAUAUACAUGGAUAGGGUUGCACGCCACAACUAUAUUAUAUACAUGGGUCGGGUUGCACGCCGCAAUAAUAUUAUAUAAAUGGAUCAGGUUGUACACUGCAACAAUAUUAUACACAUGGAUAGGGUUGCACGCCACAACGAUAUUGUAUAUAUGGACUGGGUUGCACGUCGCAACAAUAUUGUAUAUGGAUCGGGUUGCACGCCGCAACAAUAUUGUAUCUGGAUCGGGUUGCACGCACAACAAGAUAUAAUGAAAUGGGAGCGGGCGGUAUGAUUACCACAAGAUAUCACGAAAAGGGAGCUGGUGGUAUGCCUACCACAAGAUGUGAAAAGAAAGUGAAAUAUGCAUUUAUUUUCUUACUCUUGUUAGAGGUUGGAUUUUGAUUUCUUUAUAGUUUUUUUGAUAAUCUAUUCUUACCUGUUAUUCCUCGUAGCAUGUUUUUCCCCUCCCAUCUUCACUUGUUUAUUUUUGCUUUACUUUCCAUUGCAUAUCAUAUAACUGCGCAUGUGUAUUUGGUAGUCUGGUCCAAGCCUCUUCACUACUUCGCUGAGGUUACGCUAGACACUUACCAACACAUGGGGUCGGUUGUGCUGAUAUACACUAUGCACUAUGUGCAAAUCCCGGAGCAGCUUUCAGAUAGUAGUUGGAGUGCUUCCUUUAGUCCACUCGGAGGCCUAAGAUAGACCUGCAGGUGACCACAUGCCCUGGCAUCUUCCUCUAUCUCUAUUUCCUGUUUUAUUUUCCUCUAUUCAGAAACAGUGUACUAUUAUUUCUUCAGACCUUGUGUGUAUUAAAUCUUAGAUAGUCUGAGACACUGUGACACUAGGUUUUAGGAAUUGAGGUUUUAAAAGUUGUAAUGGAUGUAGACUUCAGAUAUUAAAUUGUUAACUUCCGCUUAAGUAUUUAAGUUCUGUUUUUAUAUUUUAUCACCUUAUGUUUUUUAAAAGGAGGUAAUAUGAAAAUAAAGUAAGUAGUAAUGUUUGGAUUGCCUAGUUCUCAUUAGUAGGAACCAUCACGAUUCCCGAUGGUGGGAAAUCCGGAUCGUGACAAGUUGGUAUCAGAUCUCUAGAUUACAUGGAUCUCACAGUUCACAGACAAGCUUAGUAGAGUCUGAGGGAUCGGUACGGAGAUAUAUGUAUCUACCCCCUAAAGGCUACAUAAUUAGGAAAAGUUUCACUUUUAUUCUUCCCUAUGGUGCGAUUUUGGUCUCCCAGUGCUAAAUUAAAACCUCUACUCUUGUCAUUUCGCGAAUGGCGAGAUCAUGUACCGCUUCUUUAGCCGAACAACAGCAUGGACCGUUGAUAGAUCAGCUACUUCUUUGGAGGCUAUACGGAGGUUGGAUAGGUUCCACCAAGCUCUUCAGUAUUACUUCUUGCGGUGCAUCUUCUAAGGAUCCCAAGAUUUUCUAGACGACUGUCAUAAGGUUUUCAGGAGCAUGGGGAUUGUGGAUACCAAUGGGGUCGAUUUUGCUACCUUUCACUUGUCUAGAUCCGCCAAGACCUAUUGGAGAGACGAUUGUUUGACUAGACCUUUUAGGUCAUCAGCUUUGACUUGAGGAUAGUUGACCCGACUAUUUCUGGAGAAGUUUAUCCCUAUCACUCUGAGAGAGAGGCCUAUCUGAGGCAGUUUGAGCGUCUCCAUUAGGGUUCUAUGCCUAUUAAUUAGUACGAGAUUAGAUUCAUCAACUUGGCUCAUCAUGCUCUUAUCAUACUUCCCACUGUGAGCGAGAGUGAGGAGGUUCAUUGAGGGACUCGUUCAGCCCGCUCAGUUAACUGGAGGUGGAGAUAGAAGUAUUAGAGGUGGAGGUGCAGGUACUAUUCUGGUUUGUGAUAGAGGUGCUUUAGUGUUAUUUGAUCCAGGGUCUACAUACUUAUAUAUGUCAUCUUAUUUUUCCCCGCAUAUAGUAAUGCCUAGUGAUUCUUUGAGUGCCAUUGUUUAUGCGUCUAUGAUGGUGGGUGAUUCUAUUGUGGAGGAUCGCGUCCAUUGUUCAUGUAUAGUGGUUAUUGGAGGUCUUGAGACUCGUGUAAUUUCGCUUUUUCUAAACAUGGUUGAUUUCGAUGUUAUAUUAGGGAUGUACUAGUUAUCACCUUACCACGCUAUCUUGGACUGUCAUGCCAAGACUGUGACCUUAGCUUUACAGGGUAUGCCUCAUUAAAAUGGAGAAGGGUUUCAUUAGAACCAAUAUUUCGUCUAGGGUUGCACCAGUGUUGUUUGUUAAUAAAAAGGAUGGUUCGAUGAGAAAGUGUAUUGAUUACCAGCAGUUGAACAAGGUCACAAUCAUGAAUAAGUAUCUAUUGUCGAGGAUUGAUGAUUUGUUCGAUCAGCUUCAGGGUGCCAAGGCAUUAUCAAAAUUGACUUGAGAUAUGGCUACCAUAAGUUGAGGAUUAGGGCAUUCAGUGUCCCUAAGAUAGCUUUCCGCACUCGGUACGGGCAAUAUGAGUUCUUGGUUAUGUCAUUCGAGUUGACAAAAUGCCCCAGCAACUUUUAUGGAUUUGAUAACCGAGUGUUCAUACCAUAUUUGGACUCAUUCGUGAUAGUCUUCAUUGAUGAUAUUUUGACAUAUUCCCACAACCAGGAGGAGCACGAGUAGCAUCUCAUAGUGGUUCAUUAGACUCUAGAGGAUAGUUAGUUAUAUGCUAAGUUCUCAAAGUGUGAGUUCUGGUUGAGUUUGGUUCCAUUCCAGGGUCAUGUUGUAUCAGCAGAGGGUAAUCAGGUUGAUUCGAAGAAGAUUGAGGCAGUCAAGAACUGAACUAGACCAGCAUCAGCUACAGAGAUUCGGAGUUUCUUGGGAUUGGCAGGCUACUAUUGCCGGUUCGUGGAGGGAUUCUCAUCUAUCAUAGCCCUGAUGACCAGGUUGAUCCAAAAGGGUGCUCAGUUCAGAUGGUCGGACGAGUGUGAGGCGAGCUUUCAAAAGCUCAAGAAAUCUCUGAUUAUGGAACCGGUGUUCGUUUUGCCCACAGGUUCAGGGCCUUAUAUAGUUUAUUGUGAUGCUUCCCGCAUUGGGCCUUGUGCAGGCUGAUGCAGGAUGGCAAGGUCAUUGUCUAUGCUUCGAGGCAGUUGAAGAUUCAUGAGAAGAACUAUCCGGUGCAUGAUCUAGAGUUAGCAGCCAUAGUUCACGCAUUGAAGCUUUGGAGGCAUUAUAUGUAUGGCGUGGCAUGUGAGGUGUUCACCGAUCACAAGAGUCUUCAGUAUUUGUUCAAGAAACAAGAGUUGAAUUUGAGGCAGAUGAGGUGGUUGGAGUUGUAUAAGGAUUAUGAUAUCACUAUCUUAUAUCACCCGGGAAAGGACAAUGUGGUGGCCGACUUUGAGUAGAAAGUCAGCCAGCAUGGGCAGUCUUGCUUAUUUUCUGGUCGGUGAGAGGCCGCCUGCUUCAGAUGUUUAAGAUUUGGCCAAUCGGUUUGUGAGGUUGGCUAUUUCUUAGCCUAGUCGGGUAUUAGCUUGCACGGUCACUCGUUAUUUAUUAUUGGAGCGUAUCCGUGAUCGGCAGUUUGAUGAUCCUUAUUUGGGUACCCUUAGAGACACGAUGCAGCAUGAAGAUGCCAAGCAGGUUACCUUAGGUGAUGAUGAAGUUUUGAGAUUGCAGGGGCGAGUUUGUUUGCCUAAUGUGGAUGAGCUUCGAGAGUUUAUAUUAGAGGAGGCCCAUAGUUCCCGGUACUCCAUUCAUCUGGACGCCAUGAAGAUUUAUCAGGACUAGCGGCAACAUUAUUGGUGGCGUAGAAUGAAGAAGGAUAUUGUUGCAUGUGUGGCUCGGUGUUUGGAUUCCAGCAAGUUAAGUAUGAGCAUCAGAGGCCCGAUGGUUUAUAUUAGAGGAUUGAUCUUCCCAAGUGGAAGUGGGAGCAGAUCACUAUGGACUUCAUUACUGGACUUCUGCAUACUCAGAAGAAGUUCGAUGCAGUUUGGGUCAUAAUUGAUAGGCUGAUCAAGUCAGCACAUCUCAUUCUUGUGGCUGUCUCCUAUUCAUCCGAGAUAUUAGCUGAGAUCUAUAUUCGGGAGAUUGUUCGCCUUCAUGGUGUGCCCAUAUCUAUCAUUUAGGACUGGGAUACGCUGUUUACCUUGUACUUCUAGAGAUCAGUUCAACGAGAGUUGGGUACACGGGUUGAGUUGAGCACAACAUUUCAUUCGCAGAUGGACGGUCAGUCCGAGUGAACUAUUCAGAUUUUGGAGGAUAUGCUUUGAGCUUGUGUAAUUGACUUUGGAGGCUCGUGAGAUCAGUUUUUGCCUUUAGCAGAGUUUGCCUACAACAACAACUAUUAGUCAAGCAUCCAGAUAGCUCUUUAUGAGGCUUUAUAUGGUAGGCGGUACCGGUUUUCGGUUAGAUGGUUCAAGUCGGGAGAGGCUCGGUGUUGGGUACGAAUCUGGUUCGGGAGGCCUUGGAGAAGGUCAGGAUCAUUUAGGAUAGGCUUCAUUCAGCUCAGUCCAGGCAAAAUAGCUAUGCAUACCGCAAGGUCUGAGAUGUGGCUUUUAUGGUUGGUGAGAGGGUAUUGCUCCAAGUGUCGCCUAUGAAAAGCGUGAUGAGGUUUGGGAAGAAGGGCAAGCUUAGUCCUAGGUUCACUGGUCCGUUUGAGAUUCUUGAUCGAGUGGGAGAGUUGGCUAUUACACUUGCUUUGUGGCUGAUCUUAUCAGCCGUGUGUCCAGUGUUUCAUGUGUCCAUGCUUCCGAGGUAUCACGGCAAUCCCGCCCACGUGUUAGAUUCCAGCACUGUCCAGUUGGGCAAGGACUUGUCUUAUGAGGAGGAACCGGUGGCUAUUCUAGACCGACAAAUUCGUCAGUUGAGGUCGAAGAGUUUUCCCUUCUGUUCGUGUUCAGUGGAGAGGUCAGCCUCAUAAAACAUCGACCUGGGAGUCUAAGUCCGAUAUGCGGAGCCGUUAUCCUCAUCUUUUCUCCGACGCAGGUACUUCUUUCUUUUGUCCGUUCGAGGACGAACAAUUGUUUUAGAGGUGGAGAAUGUGACGAACAAAAGGGUCAUCACAUGUUUUAAUUGAAUUUUGUCUCUCCAAGGCCUUAAAACCCUCAUUUAGAGUCACCUCAUUUACGUGCAUAGUCCGGGUACGUAUCCGGAAGUCCGGGCACGUAGCCGCAAAGCGUAAACAUGAAAUUCUGUGAAAAAUGCUAAGUUUUCAUGUUAAAAAUAUAAAUUUGACUUUUGUUAAUAUUUUGGGAAAACAGACUCGAACCCGUGAUUUGACAGUCCCGAAGGAUCCGUAGGAAAAUAUGGGACCUGGGUGUAUGCCUAGAAUCGAAUUCCGAGGUCCCGAGCCCAAUAUAUGAAUUUUUAAGUAAAAUUAUUUUCUGAAAUUGUUUAAGGAAAUUUGAUAUGAAAAUUUAUUAGAACGUGUUAUAUCGGGCUAGUAUUUUGGUUUCGUUGCCUAAUACAGGGAUUAUAUAUGGUAUAAGUCCUUCAUGUAAAAUUUUAUUGAAAACAGACGUCGUUUGACAUGAUUCAAACUUGAAUUUCUAAAUUUGAAACUUGAUAAAGUUUGAGGAAAAGUUCUUGAUUUUGAGGUUUGAUUCAGUAUUUUUUAGGUUAUUUAGGCGAUUUGAUCGCAUGGAUAAGUUUGUAUGAUGUAGAUGAGUUAGUACAUGUGUUUGAUUAGGAGCACUGAGGGCUCGGGUGUGUUUUGGAUGUGUUUUGGAAGGUAUUAGACUUGAAAAAUAUUGCAGGUUUUCCAGUUUUGGUAUUUUGAUAUGCCCUUCUUUGCGUUCGCAGGAGGACCUUGCGAUUGUGAUGUGUAAACUUUUUGCUGAAGGAACUUCCUUCUACGCGAACGCGUAGACCAGGUCGCGAACGCGAGGAAACGGGGGGCAAUACUUUCGCGAAUGCAUUCCUGGCUACGUGAAUGCGUAGGCUAAGUGGCCUGGGUAGGGGGAGGGGUAGAAACCUUGCGCGAACGCGAUCCAUGGAACGCAAACGCGAGGCUCAAUAAGCUAAAAACGUCUCGAACCCGAGCCCCUUAGCACGAACGCGAAGGGUUAAUCAGCCUGACGCAUUGCGAACGCGAAGGGUAAUUUUGCCCAGUUAUUUUAAAACCCCAAAACAGUACCCAUUACGGGAUUUUCAUAAAAUAGCAUCAACCCUUUUUCUCCAAAGCUCCUAGGCGAUUUUUGAAGCACUUCUUCACCAAAGCUUCUUGAGUAUGCAUUGUUUAUCUUGUUUUCUUCAUUUUCCAUCAACACCCACUAGAAUUCUAGGCCAAAAACAUGUAGUUAAAGGUAAAAAAUUAGGGAUUUGGAUAGAACUAGGGCUUUUUUCUUAAUGGUGAUUUAGACCUUGUUUUGGGGUCGAUAUUUUGGAAAUAAUUAUAUAUUUGGUCUCGUAUGUGAAUGGGGGAUUUGAUUUUGGUCUGAACCUCGUGCUUUGACGUAGCGGGCCCGGGGUCAAUUUUUGGGUUUUUGGGAAGAAUGAUUGGAAAGCUAUAAUUAGGCAUUGGAUUCGUAUUGUUUAGCAUUUAUUGAUGUUAGGAAGUCAUAUAUGUAUAGAAUCAAUUGAUUUGGAUCCAAAUUGGAGAGGAAAAGCAGUAAUUGGGGAUUGAGUUGGUCGUGGAAGUUCGAGGUAAGUGUUUGGUCUAACCUUAGCUUGAGGGUUUAGGAGUUGUGUCCUAUUUGCUAUUUGUUUCUUGUUGAGUACGACGUAUAGGCAUGGUGACGAGUAUCUAUACGUUGGUUUUAAGCAUGACCAUCAGUCUUAUACUGUGAUUUUCAUGAUUUCGUUAUAUUAUUCUUACUUGGUGAAGAUUUCUAUUUGUUGUGUAAAGUUGUGGAAAGAAUUGUGACUUAUGAAAGAGCGAUGGCCCCAGUGUGUAAUGAAUUGUGAAAGUAUAAGUGAUAAUUGAAACUCUAGAGUAUUGGCUUGAGUUGUGAAGUGAAUUGUGAAGUAAAAGUGAGAAAGAGAAGAGAUCAUUAUAUUGCCCCCUUGCCAGUCUAUUAUUGAGUAAUGGUUCCCUUGCAUUGUGUUCUUAGUUUAUAUUAUGGAUGCUUAGAUUGAUGAUUCCUUUUAUUAGGUGUUGUAAUAAGUUUAGUUAUAGCUAGUGAUAUUACGGAUGCUUAGGUUGAUGAUCCCUUGUGUUAGGUGUUGUAAUAUGUUUAGUUAUAGCUAAAGAAGUUAGAUGUUGAAAUGAGAUCGGUUAUAGCUGAAGUAGUUAGGUGUUGUAACAAGUUUAAUUAUCGUCGAGGUAGUUAGGUGUCGGAACGAGUUUGAUUAUAGUUGAGGUAGUUAGAUGUUAGAAAAAGUUAGGUUAUAGUUGAGGUAGUUAGAUGUUGGAACAAGUUUGGUUAUAGCUGUUUUUCCAUUUCCAGGAUAGUGUAGACCUUAUUGAUCCCUUGUCGUGACACUUGUUAUAAUUUCUAAUAUUAUAUACAUAGAUUGGGUUGUACGCCACAACAAUAUUAUAUACAUGGAUGGGGUUGCACGACGCAAUACUAUUAUAUAUAUAGAUGAGGUUACGCGCCGCAAUAAUAUUAUAUACAUUGAUCGGGUUGCACGCCGCAACAAUAUUAUAUAUAUGGAUCGUGUUGUGCGAUGCAACAAUAUUAUAUACAUGGAUAGGGUUGCACGCCGCAACAAUAUUAUAUACAUGUAUCAGGUUGCAUACUGCAACGAUAUUAUAUAUAUGGAUCAGGUUGCACGCCGCAAAAAUAUUAUAUACGGAUCGGGUUGUGCGCCGCAACAAUAUUAUAUACAUGGAUCGGGUUGCAUGCCGUAAUAAUAUUAUAUACAUGGAUCGGGUUGCAUACUGUAACGAUAUUAUAUAUAUGGAUCAGGCUGCAUACCGCAACAAUAUUAUAUAUGGAUCGGGUUGCACGUCGCAACAAGAUAUAAUAAAAUGGGAGCGGGUGGUACGCCUACCACAAGAUAUAACGAAAAGGGAGCGAGUGUACGCCUACCACAAGAUGUGAAAUGAAAGUGAAAUCUGCCGUAUUUUCUUACUCUUGUUGGAGGUUGAAUUUUUAUUUCUUUAUAGUUCUUUUGAUAAUCUUUCUUACCUGUUAUUCCUCGAAGCAUGUUUUGCCCCUCCCAUAUUUACUUGUUUAUUUUUGCUGUAUAACAUAUAAUUGUACAGGUGUAUUUGGUAUUCUGGUCCUAGCCUUUGUCACUACUUCGCCGAGGUUAGGCUAGGCACUUGCCAUCACAUGGUGUCGGUUGUGUUGAUACUACACUCUGCAUUGUGUGCAGAUCAUGGAGUAGCUUUCGGACAGUAGUUGGAGUGCUUCCUUUAGUCCACUCGGAGGCCCAAGGUAUACUAGGGCUGCUUAUUGGGUGGAUUGGGCGGUUAUUUACUCUUAACGGUUUGGCUUAUCGGUAAUCGGCUUUAAAAUUCAUUAAUCUGCUAGUCACUCGAUAAGAUAUCGGAUAGAUUGGUAUUGGUUUAUCUCUUAUCGGACGGUUAUCGGGCGGCUUAUCAGCCUAAUUCAAUCUAUGUUGCAUGCAUUAAUUGUUUUGUUGCAAAUAGAAGAGGUUUAGCUUGGAACCUAUCGCACAUCGACUACGAGAUGUUAGACUAAGCUAGAUUUCUUAUAUUAUUGGGAUACAGACAAUGAACAAGCACUUGGAUCCAGGGAAAAGGAGCAGAGGAAAGGACAAAAAGCAAUAGGAAGUUAACGGAUAAAAAUAUAAAAACAACAAAAAAGAAAAAAGAACACAUUUAAGUAUGCUAAAAUUGGUCAAUAACAAAAAAUAUAUUAAGCACUUAAUUUGCUCUGAUAUACAAAUCCACUGGGGUUCGCAUUUACUACUGUAAAAUCUUCUUAUUUCUGCAAGCUUAAAAAAUGUACUUUCACAUAAAUAGUCCCUAUAUAUAGCUCUUUCUAGAUUGCACUAGUUGUCCAAAUAUAUAUAUAUAUAUAUAUAUAUAUAUAUAUAUAUAUAUACUUUACAGGUUAACGGAUUAUUCAUUAAGAAAACUGAAUAAUCCACCCCCAAACCGGUAAGCCGUUAAUAAAAAAAUUCAAUCUAUUCUCUGUCCGUUAAACCUUUAACUCGAUACCAACAAGCCAUUAAGCUUCAGUUUCGGUUUGGUUAUCGGUUUCGAUUCUAUUUUAAACACCCCUAAGGUAGACAUGCAGUCGUCCGCAGGCCCUAGCGUCUCCCUCUAUCUCUAUUUCAUAUUUCAUUUAAAUCUAUUCAGAAACAGUGUACUAUUAUUUCUUCAAACCUUGUGUGUAGUAAAUCUUAAAUAGUCUAUUACACUGUCACACCAGGUUUUGGGUAUUGAGGUUUUAAAAGUUGUAAUGGAUGUAGACUUCAGAUAUUAAAUUGUUAACUUCCGGUUAAUUAUAUAUGUUCUAUUUUUAUUAUGUUAUCGCCUUAUAUUUUUAAAAGGAGGUAAUAUGAAAAUGAAGUAAGUAGUAAGGUUUGGCUUUCAUUUUUAUUAUGUUAUCCCCUUAUGUUUGUUAAAAGAAGGUAAUAUGAAAAUGAAGUAAGUAGUAAGGUUUGGCUUGCCUAGCUCUCAUUUUUAGGCGCCAUCACGACUCCCGAGGAUAGAAAAUCCGGGUUGUGGCAUUUAGCAACUCAUGAUAAUAGCAAAUAAUUUCAUAAAUGUUGGAUAACUGAAAAUACUAAGAAAAAAUGAAGAAAACUGAGAUAUCUUUGCUCCCGAAUGUCUCUCGUGUGUGUUUUCAAUUCAAAGUGGCAUCUCCCCUCUAAAAAUAAGCUUAAUAUUGCUUUUAUAUGUGUUGGGUAGGCGUAGGACCGAAAUAACCUUGUCCCAGGCAAAGUUUGACAGAAAUUCUGUCACCAACAUCCAGCCUAGUGCUAGGCGUCGUCCCUGGCGCUGGUAAAUUAUACUCACUGUCUGGUGUGCCACAGGUAGUUUCUGGCGCUGAAAUCUCCAUUUCCCUUUUUACGUCUGUUUUGGCUCUAAUCUCGCACCUUUAGUCCUCAAUUGCCUGCGGAAUGAUUUCUACACAUAAAAAUACCUCGAAUUAAUAUAACUCAACAAAUGUUACAUUCUUAAUGCAUGAAAAAAGAGUAAAACAUGAGGCGAUAUAUAUAUAUAUAUAUAUAUAUAUAUAUAUACACUUUAAUCUUAUCAUGAACACCCCACACUUAGACUUUUGCUCGUCCUCGAGCAAUGGGACAGUCUAACAAACCCCCAACUAUGUACAAAGUUCAAUCUUAAAGGAGCACCUUAACUUUUAACCACACACUAUACCCUUGACUACGAUCAAUACCGGCACACAACCACGAACACACUAAAAUUCACAUUCUUCCCGUUGAAGAAUACCCAAGUAUAAUAUUUCAAUUUAAUAAAUUCCAACAACCUAUUCGUCACCACCCUCAAAAGUCGACUUGCAACAAAGCAACAGGACACUCAAAUAUACCCCCAACUACGUACAAAUAUCAACUAUAGAGGAGCACUUCAAAUUUUAACAAUACACUCUACCCUUUACUAUGAUCAAUAUAAGCAAUCAAGUAUGAACAUACAAAAUAUCACAUUCUUCCUGUUUUACUCAUGCCCAAGUAUAACAUUUCAAUUCAAUCAAUUUCAACAACCUAUUUUUAACUGCCCAACCUAAAAAAUCGACUUGUUACCAAUAAGCACCCUCAACUCGCACACUCACCCAUCAAGAAAAGUUUACAAUAUUACUGAUCUUUCAUGAGAUCAUGUGCCCUUACCAACAAACAAAAGAGUGAAUAUAGAUUACUCCACACAUUCAAAGAUGCUUUUGAUAUAAAUUAAAGACAUCAUACAAUUGAACAAAAUUCACUCACUCUCACAAAGAAUUCAUAUGCAUCUCAUGGUCGUACCAUAAGCUUGCCUGUAGUGUACAUCUCUACUAAUCUAUGCUAGCCAUACCUAGGAUUAAUUAUGACCUUGAGGUUGUAAUAUAGGCUAAGAGAUGGGAGUGACUAACCCUCCUAAGUACUAUAAUACACUACGCUCACAAUUCGAACACAUAUUCUUCUCAACUAAUUCAUUUGCCGCAAACCAUGUGCAAUAUAGUCCUUACUCUCAUUGAGCACUACUAAACUCCCACUAGAAAAAUUUAAUAAGAUAUGGAGGUGUGUAUUUUUCUACAUACAUUGACUAUCAUUUUUUUUUCUCCUUUUUUUGUAGUUUUCUUUUUAUUUCUCUUUUUUUCUUUUCUUCACACACUCAAUACAUUAAUGUUCAUUGGCUUGUGAAUUUUGAUUUCAACUCUAGUGCACCAAAGGGCCCUUUCAUGGCUCCAUUCGAAAGCUACUCCCCAAUCUCUUACCUUACUUCUUUUUUUGCGACUAAGUGCCUUAGGAGGUAAAGGUUCAACAAUCAUAAAUUAAUAAUAAAAUAGGGGUACAACUUGUAAUGUGGGUGCCAAAAGAAAGGUCUAUAGUCUCAAGGAGGCUAGUAAUAGAAAAUUUUAUUUUAAUUUGAAAAGGACAUAUAUGAUCAAGUAAUAAAUGCCUACAUCAUAUCCUAGAUUAGAACAACUUAACAAUUUCACUUCAAUCAACAUACAGGGCAAGUUCCAGACUACACAGGAUAGUACAGAUGAUCACAACUCCUCACACACACACACACACACAUUUUACAUGACUCAAUCACGAUUGCUCUAUUUAACUCUAAAGUCAAGCAAGCACACACAAUUUAAGCAAUAAUGCACUAUGUGGCAUACAAGUCAAACAACUAAGAAAAAAUGUUACAAAUAGGAUAUUUACUUUACUUAGAUGUUACAAUACAAAUCAAAUUUACGAGAAGACAUGAUGUAUUUCAUAGCCUAAUGUGCCAGCACCAAACACGUCAAUAGGUAACUCAGAGAAACUCAGUUUCUUCCUAACCUACUACUAAAGAAAAUAAAGUACCCAAUUCAUGCUACUCCCUUAGAAAAGAACUGACACCCAAAGAAAAACCAAAGGAUACUACCUAACCAUCCUAAAAAAAUUGAUAUUUUAGUCGGACUUUAUCCCUCAAGAAAAUUGUCCAAAAGAUCCAUCAUCGAGAAAAGUUUAAGCUUUUUCUAUUUUUUUUUCUUUUUGUAUUCAUAUAUAUACAUUUUAUUUUCUUUUUUAAAACAAACUAGACUAAGUAAAACAAACAAAGUGAUACAAUUUAUACAAGUACAUCACAAGUAGUAUUCCUCCUACCCCACACUUAUAUUAUGCAUAGUCCUCGAUGCAUAUAAAAAUGUAAAACAGAGUAGGGUGAAAAGAGAACUCCUUGUCAGUCGGAGUCCUCCUCUUCAGCAUGUCCUCAAUCCGCAGCUUUAUCCAUAUCUCAUCAGGUCUUAGAGGCACCAAAGCCAGGGGCCUCGUAACAUCAUCACCAACCUCGUCCUCUGUGUCUAAGCCCUUGAUCAUGUUUGCGUCCUUUGACGAGUGAAUGAGGCUGCCAGGUGCAAUCCCCAACAUCUCCUUGGAGGAGCUUGACAAGUCAUUUCGCAAAUGCAUACGCUCCUUAUCUAAAAUACCAACCCUGCUCAUGAGUAAAUUUGAAGAGUUAUAGAGGAACCUGUUAAAGUUUUAAUCUUUUUCAUUCUGUGAUGCCUGAGUGAGAUUAGACAACGUCUCCAAUAAGGAUGUUAUGUACAACAUCCCUGUAGGAGCCUCCAUCGCUUCAUCAUACCCUGGGUACUCCGGCACCUCUCGGGAGAUCAUAUAUUGAUUGAGCAAAUUACCAAAGAAGAACCCUAUUAAUGUGUCGCCCAUAUCGCGUGCGAGCCAUCUCACCGAGCAUGAUCUCACCCACGUUAAUGGGUCUACCAGUCACCAGAAAGAAUAUGACACAUACUCUAGCUUGAUUUCAGUCGCUGCUGUGCUUCACAUGCAUGAGUAUUGCUUGCACAAAAUUUUGCCAUAUUUUGAUGGUCUUGUUGAAAUCAGAGUGAACUAUCAAAAGGUGAAUAUCACCUUGCUUUCUGGUCCACUUAGCAUUGGAAUUUGCACCACAAAGAGUGUGGUGUAUCCUUGUAUAGUUUGGGAUUCAGACAAAUUCAUGGAGCCUCAUCGGGUCAGCAUUCUCAACCCCCAAAAAUGCACAUAAGGACAACCGAUCCAGUGCACGUCUUUCCCAUGUACAUGUGACCUGAACAAGUUUGUAUCCUAAUUAGCAUAUAGUUCCCGAACAAUGCUCAAAUUUUGUUGCCCGGGGCUUCUUUGAGUUUGUCCAUGUUUAUUACGCGUAACUGGCCAAGGACAUCCAGGAAGUUUCGCUCUAAAGCUUUAUCAUUUAUCCCCAUCUCAGAGGUAUACCAUCCAUAUGGCAUGAAAUUCUUAUGCCAUGCAAUAGCCACAUUAGAGACUAGUUUCUUGAAUAGGUGUUAAAUGGUUGGACCGGGUCGGGCUGGGUUGCUAUUUUUUGGACCCGUAGGGGUUAUGGUCCGGGACGGUUACGGGUUAGGGCUUAAUAGGUUUAAUGGAUACAGUUUCAUCUGGGUAAAUAUUGAACCGUAAGGGUUGCAGGUUAAAGCGGCCGGGUUGGGCAGCAGUUUAGUGUAUUUUAAAUUUUUUUUGUAUUUUGUAUAACUAUUGUAAGUUGUAUUAAUACUUUGUAUUAGUUUAAAGAUUACAAGUUAUAUUAAUACUUUGUAUUAAUAUAAUUGCAACUGCUACAUUUAUUUCAAAAUUCAAAAUUAAAGUUUGCAUUAAAAAGUAAAUUAACAAAAAAAUAGUAAAACUAAAUUUUCAUGCAUAAUAAAUUAAUAAUACUUCAAAUUAAUUGUUAAUCUAACAAACUAAAAAAUUAAGCAUAAAUACGUCUAAUAAUUUCAAAUUAACAUAAAUUAUCUUAAAAUCUUAAAUACAAAUUUCCGGAAGACGCUCAAGACAAUACUUUAUAUGCCUCCUUAAACUGGUUGUGCCAUACUCUAAACAAAAAUUUAAGACUUGACCACAGUUGUUGCACUUUACUUUCUGAUCUUCUUCAUUUUCUUCUACUACCUCAAAGUGUUCAAAUACAUAUGAGCGCACUCUAGAAGUACGAGGCAUGAUUUAACUUGAAUUUAGAUUUGAGAAUUGAGAAUUUGAGAAAGAGACUUGAAAUCUUGAAAAUUAGAAAAUGAGAGAAUGAGAGAAAUUGAGAUAGAAAAAUGAGUAUUGAGUGAAGAAAUGAAGAAGAGGCGCAGUAUUUACAGUUUUAGAGAAGGUUAGUUUUGUAAAUUGAAAAAGGAUUAAAAAUUAUAAAAAAAAAAGCUAUUUAUGCAAUAUUUCCGUUGGCCAACAGACCAAAUCAAGGUCUGACCGCUGCCAACGGUCAGUGAGGCCCACAAGUUUUGAAAACUAAAAAAAACAAAACCGGGCCGGUUAACCUGGUAAGAGUUAUUGUUCACUCUUCCGGGUUCAACCGGGGCGGUUACCCAUUUUCAAAAAAAUAAAUGGACAACCCCCCUUAACCCCCUACGCAGCCCAGCCCAGCCCCCUCUAAUCAGUCCGAGCCGGUUUCAGGUUCAAUCUAUCUGGGUCAAUCUGGAACCGGGUCAACCCGGCCUGUUAAACACCCAUAGUUUCUAGGAGGCCUUGAUUGCAAUGGUGCCUGCUGUGAUCCCUCAGCAGCCUAUUUCCCUUUAGCUUGUCGCGAGGAACCUUCUCCCUGCUUGCGCUUUUUGGGUGUGAGGGUUGUGGUGGAGGACUUUCCUAUUCCCUUGCCUUUGCUUUCACUAUCACGAGCCAUAAUAACCUGCAACACGAAUAAGCACAAAUGUAAGAACUUAUAAGGAAAAUAUGCCUAAGGUUAUCGUGCGAGUCAAAAAUGACCGCACACUUAAAAUCGAAAGCGCAAUGUACAAUACUUCAUACUUUUUAUCUAAAAUGUACAAGUUUUGCACUCCAUAACUAUAGACACUCAAGACUUCCAUAUGCCAUACAAUAGAAAAAUGGCACUUAUUAAUGCCAGGCAUACAAGUGAUUGAUCAUGGCUUAGUGAAUUCACCUUAAUGCAAGCAAGUGACAUAUGUUACUUUAAUUUCUACAAGUACACCAAAUUAGCUAACUCUACAACAUUUUACGACAUAUUAUAUAUGAAAUAUGGGUGUGGCAAUAUGUGUGCAUCAAAACUAAGCUUCCAAGCAUGUAAAAUCAUCCCUACAUACCUCACACUUAGCCCAAAUUCAUAUACAAAUACACUCGAUUACUCUAACUUUACCGGUGCGCGAAAUCUUCAUUCAAAUAUUUUAACAAAUACCUUAUCGGCAUAAAGUGUGUGCUUUCUAGUGUAACAAUGGUGGAACACGGUGGCUCUCCCAAAUUUCAAAGAAGUAGACGGAAUUCUAGUUUACUACUCCGUAUACAAUACAAUCACAACCAUUUUCUACCAAUAACUAGACCACCCACCAUACAAGAUUGUUGAGAAACUACAUUUUAAGGAUUAGGGCAAUUGGGGAAAUGGGAAUUUCAUAGUUAUUUACCUAUUAGAAUACAAAAAAAGAGGAAGAAGAAGAUAAAGAAGAACAUACUUGUAGAUUUUAGGAUGAGAGCAAGGGAGGAGCUUGAGAAAAUUUUUGAGACAGGAGGAAGAAACUCGGCAGAAGCGUGGCAUUAGCAUGAGAGAGAGAGAGAGAGAGAGAGAGAGAGAGAGAGAGAGAGAAAGAUGGAGGAAAUUCGGUGUUUUAUGAGGAGGAAUUUUAUGUAUAAUUUGUUUUGUGGGUCGGUAUGGGUAUUAAGAUGGGUUAUAAUAUUAUUGUAUAUGGGUAUAUGGGUUGGGUUUUGUGGUUAUGGGUUAAAUAGAAUAUAUAAUUUACAAAACAGAAAAAGAAGAAAAAAAAAUAUUUGGUCACUGAUCGGUUCCAAGAUUGUAGCACUAUCGAGUGGCAAGGAUGGUCGAUGUAGUUUUAUCCAACAAAGAUCAGGAUCGAUUUCUACAUGGAGUUAGUUGAUUUGGAGUUGGGUAUCGAACUGAUCUAGAUGUGUGUGUUGUUCCAAAUUGCACCUCCAGACAUGGUCAUGAUUGAUUAUAUUUCUAGUAUUAUACUAUGCUAUGCUAGAAUAGGCUAAGUAAACUAUUUUUGUUGGUUGUUUUCAAGGAUUAAAAGGGACUAGGGAAGUGACUUCCGCCUAGGUGGAUAUCUAACGGGUAUCGAGAAUUCAGGGAAAGAUUUUUAUGAUUGGGGUCGUGAUAUAACCAUCACACAUAAGUGCUCACUCUAUACCUCUUGGUAGUUUGAGUGACUUUACCCGAUUUGGCUUUCUCAAGUCCAAACGGGUGUUCAUGCAUAACAAAUGAUAUUGGCUCAAGUCGAGUAUUACUAUCACUAGGUUUAACCCUUUAAUUAGGUAUAUCAAUCUCUUGAAUUCGCCUCAAUUCCUUCUUAUCCUAAUUUUCCUAGACUUAGUCCCUCUUUCUCAAGAAGAUUCUAAGUCAUCAACGCACAAGUCAGUGUUUGCAACCACCAAUUCUACAAUUAAAGCAUGAAUUUAGCUAAAUAUCACAAACCCAUAAACAAUUAAGCCCUAAAAUUGAAGAACCAUACAAAUACUCACACUAGAGUUGGAUCGCAACCCUAUAUAUGGGGUUUAGCUAUUGAUAAUAAUAGUAGAAAUAUAAAAUGAAGAUAAAAUAUAAACCAUGAUAUUCAAAUAAAAGAUAAAAAUCUAAAGAUUGAAGAUAAAUCUACUCUAAGAUUACUUAAAAAGGUAAAAACCAGCCGUUCACGUGCUCAACAAAAUAUUACAUAACCUAAAAAUGUGAAAAUAUCUAUUUAUGCUAGGCUAAAGUUCCCAAACAAAAAUGACCCUGCGGAGGUUUUUUAGAUGCGUAAUUCUGACCGCGUCCGUGCUUGAGCUAUCGUGGUUGUGUAAUAAUGAUUGCAAUCUGUGUUUCUCCAUAUUCGAAUCGCAUCCGCAUAAUUUAAACACAGACUGCAUCCUUCAAUCAUACUUAACUUGCAAGGCCUCUGAACGUCAAAGUAUGCUCUCAGCAAAAAUACCAUCGUGGCCGUGCCAGAUAUUCCGCAACCGCGCUUUUCCAUUGCUGUCAGCGGUCAAUGUUAUGCCCAAAAUAGCCUCUCUGAAUCUCAUUUUUGCGACUGCGUAUUUGUGGCUGCCUCAGUGAUCGUUCUUAUGUGGCCGCUCUACUCUACCGCUGUCAGCGCUCUAGCCUGGAUUUGUGCAAGUUUGACUCCUUCCUUAGUUGAUUAUGGCAUUUUUUUAUCUCAUUUUGACCAAACCCUGCAAGCAAGCACAUUAAGUCAGUUUUUGGGAAUACCUUUACGCAUUUUCGACCCAAAACCUAAACAAAAAGAGCACAUAAUAGGUUAAAAUCCAUAGUUAUCAGUCACCCUCCAACCCAGCGCUCCGUGCUAUGCUUGGCACUAGGGUUUUGAACACUAAUUUCAGCGCCCCAAGCAUCGUGAGGUGCUAGCCUUGGCGCUGUUUUUGCAAUUCUUCUUUUUUUUUUUUUUCCUUUUUAAAAAAAUAUAAAUUCCCAAUCCCCCGAGCCUUUUUAUAUAUCUAAAUUACAUGUCCCAUACCAUUCUACCUAUAAUUUUUAUAUCUACAAAGAAAAUUGCAAAAUUUAGUCUACUCUAAUUAAAAACAAUUAGAAAGCUAAACUAUGAAAAAAACUAAAAACUAGGUUGCCUCCAAGCAAGCUCUUGAUUUAAUAUCACGGCACGACACGUUGUCUCGCUUAUUCAUCAACGAGUACAACCUUGAUCUUCUCACAAUCAAUUAUUCCUUCCCAAUAAUUCUUGACUCUAUGUCCAUUCAACGAAAAAUUUCUUUCACCAUUUAAUGAUCGCAACUCAAUUGCACAAUAAGAGUGACUCUCUCCAUCUCAAAGGAGCCUGACCAUCUCAAUUUUAACUUCCUAGGAAAUAGCCUUAGCCUAGAAUUGAACAAUAAUACCUGUUGUCGUGGCUCGAAGUGACGCGGCUUGGGAUGUUUGUCAUGCCAUCCUUUUGUCUUCUCUUUGUAAUGCUUAGCAUUUUCAUAAGAGUGCAUCCCAAAUCUAUCUAAUUUAUCAAACUGCAAGAGUCUUUUCUCUCCCGCGGCUUCAAGGUCCAUAUUCAGCUUUUUAAUGGCCCAAUACGCUUUGUGUUCAAGUUCAAGAAGAAAGUGACAUGCCUUCUCAUAAACAAGCUUACAAGGCGACACCCCAAUUUGGCGUUUUGUCUGCAUUUCUAUAUGCCCACAAGGCAUCAUCCAACUUUACAGCCUAAUCCUUUCUAUUCACACUCACCGUCUAAUCUAUGAUUUGCUUUAUUUCUCUGUUCGAUACCUCAGCUUUUCCACUUGUUUGAGGAUGAUAUGAUGUCGCAACUCUAUGGAGGACUUCAUAUUUAAAUAGAAGAUUAUUCAAUAAUCGAUUGCAAAAGUGUGUCCCUUCCUCACUUAUCAAGCAUGCGGAAUCUCGAAAAUAUUUUCUUUUUUCACAAACGCGACUACCACCAUUGCAUCAUUUGUUGGCAAUGAGAUCGCCUCUACCCUUUUUGACACAUAGUCAACUGCUAGCAAAAUGUAUUUGUUUCUCUAAAACCCUCAUUUUUAUCUCACCUCGAUUUGCAUGCACAGUCUGGGCAUGUAGCCGGAAAGCCAAUAUAUGAAAAAUGAUGAAUUUUGACAUUAAAAUGAAUUCAUUAAUUUCGGUCAACAUUUUGGGUAAAUGGAUGUGGGCCUAUAAUUUGAUGACCGUACGAAAAUAUGGGACUUGGGUGCAUUUCCGGAAUUGAAUACUAAGCUCCCAAGCUCGAGAAAUGAAUUUUUAAAGAAAAUUACUUUUUGGAAUAUUUAUGAGUUUUUGAAAGUGAAAUAAGCUUAAAGUUUGAUGGUAUCGGGCCCGUAUCUUGAUUCCGGAGCCAAGUAUAGGUCUUAUAUAUGAUCUGAGUCGAACCUAUAAAAUUUGAUAAGAAACAGCCUUGAAAUGACUUGAAUCGAACCAUGUUUGAAAAAAUUGGAAAUAUUGAAGUUCUUAAGAAAUUUCAUGAUUUUGAUGCUAAAUUCAUAGUUAUUGAUGUUAUUUUGGUGAUUUGAAUGCACGAGCGAGUUCGUAUAAUGUUUUUAGGUUGGUGUGUAUAUUCGGUUUGGAGCCCCGAGGGAUCGGGUAAGUUUCGGAUAGGCCACGAAGUGGAAUUAGACUUGGGAAAUUUGCAGACUUCAGUUGUUAUAUUGCAAGCUUGCAGGCUUUGCAUUUGCGAAGCCAGGCUCGCAAAUGCGAGUUCACAAAUGCAAAGGCAAUGUCGCAAAUACGAACAUAGCCCAAGCCAUCCUAUCUCGAAAAUGCGAGGAAUUUAUAGCAAAUGCGAUGCCCCCAACUGCUGCCUUAGUCACAAAUGCGACUUCGCAUUUGCGAGAGAUCUAUCACAAAUGCAAAGAAGACCGAAAAACUGACUUGGUCCCAAAUGCGACAUUUUGUUCGCAAAUGCGAACUUCUCAGAAUUCUAAAGGGUUCGAAAUUGCGAACCCUAGUCACAAUUGUAAUAUCAGAGACCUAUAAAUUCAUACUUAGACGCAUUUUCAACCAUUUUACAUAUCUCUUCAAAACCAAAACACUCUAGGGUGAUUUUUCAAAUCCAAUCGAUUUUAAGUUAUUUCUAACUCGUUUUCUUCAAUCUUUAACAUCUUUUCACAAAAUUUCAACUCAAAUCAAAGGUUUUCAUGGGGAAAAUUGGGUAUUUUGGGUAGAACCUAGGUUUUUUUUUCAAAUUUUGGGGAUUUGGACGUCGAUUUGAGGUCCGAUUUCAAAAUAAAUAAUAUAUUUGAGUUCAUGAGUGAAUGUGUAUUCAGGUUUUGGUCAGAACCUCGGGUUUUGACCAUAUGGGCCUGGGGUCAAUUUUUGAAUUUUUGGGUAAAACUUUGAAAAUUUUAUUUUCAUGCAUUAUAAUUGAUUCAUUUAGCAUUUAUUGAUGGAACUAAGUAACUUGCGGCUAGACACGAGCGAAUUGGUGGUGUAAUCAAGAGGUAAGCGGUAAUUAAGACUUGAAUUAUGUUCGUAGCAUCGAGGUAAGUGUUUGGUCUAACCUUAGCUUGAGUGAUUAGGAGUCGAGUCUUAUUUGCUACGUGGUAUUUAUUGAGUAUGACAUAUAGGCAUGGUGAUGAGUAUUUGUACGUUGGUGUCAAGCAUGCCCAUGAAUCUUAUAUUGUGAUUAUUAUGACUUCGUUGUAUUAUUCAUGCUUUGGUGAUGAUUUUUAUUGUUGGGCAAAGUUUGUGGAAGUAAUUGUGGCAUUUGAACAUUGAGGAGCGUCGACUCAAGUUGUAUAAUGAAAUGUGAAAGUAUAAGUGGUAAUUGAACCUUUUAAGGCAUUGGCUCAAGUUGUGAAGUAAAAGUGAGAAAGAGAAGAGAAUCAUUACGUGGCCUCCUUUGCCUGGAUAUUGUUGCUUUUAAUGUUAUCUUGUCGGGAUGUUGAUGUUUUUGAUGUUGUUCCCUUGCCGAGACUUGAUUUUAGAACUAUUGUUCCCUUGUCGGAAUUUUUAUUGUAAUCUUAUUUAUUUCCUUGCCCUAUUGCUUGUGAUUAUUGUUUGGGUGGGUAAGAGUGUUAAAUCAAGAAGGGUAAUGUCGUGCAUUAUUUUUGUAAGAGAGUGUUAAAGCACGAAGGAUGAUGUCGUGCCGCACGAUGUACUAUCUGUGCCUUUAUAUGAGUGAUAAUGCAAUAAUUAUGUGAGUUAAAAGCACGAAGGGUGAUGCCGGUGCCAUUUACAUUGAUUUUAUGGUGAGGAAGAGAGUAAAAGCAUAAAUGAUGAUGUUGUACACUUGUCCCUGAUAUUCCUGGUUCUUGCUGAAAAUUUAGUUAUAGUGUCCUUUAUGUUUAUUUACUGAUUUUCUUUUAUAACUUGACUUAAUUGUUAUUUAACAAGUGCUUGAAGAUUAUUUAUAUCAUUUGCUUCCCUCAACCUCCAAUGAAAUAUUCUCUCAAGUUUGGGUCAAAGCCUUAAAGUUUGUCUUGUCUUCUGACCUUGCGCAUUCAAUUAAAGUUCAUGAGAUCAGAGCAACAAUAAAGUAAUGUUAACUUGGCGAAAUAAACAAUUAUAGCAAAAACUAGAGAGUAAUCAAUAUUCAAGUCCCCUGCAACGACGCUAAAAAUUUAUUGCUCCCAAGCACACACGCAAAUAUAUGUGGCCGUAUAAGUAAUAAAAUGAUAAAUCGAGUGUCGAACCUAUAAUGACUUGUAUGAACUACCUACUAAAUUUACCAAGAUUGUUAUUCAGUCGAGCCAAAUUCAAGUCAAGAAUGUGAUUAUACUAAAUUAUAAUUCUAUGUAGUUACUACUUAUCAAACAAUAAAAUAAUUAUUCUACAUCAGUACAUACAAAUAUUUCAGGGUUGUGAUCGAUUCACCAAUCCUAUAUUGUUCUAGUUAACUCUCUCUCUCAUAUAAUUCACUCAUGGUUGCUAAUUAAUUGAUAAUUUCUCUCAUAGCCUUCUCCCGAAGUACUACUCGUCUAUUCAAAAUAAAUUAACGCAUAUAUUCCUAUAGAAUCAAUCAAUAAGAUUACGAUAUUUAAUUAAGCGCGGCGACUAAGUAUAUUCCUAUCCUAACCACAAAUCCGUCAUCCUCAGAGUUAAGAUCAUGGUCUCUUCUAUUGUUCUAUAAUCUAAAUAUGGCUUUCCCAAGCAUAGCAUAGAUAGUAAACAAAACCUAACUGUUGGCCAGCCAAAUAAGCAAUUAAUCAUAGAAUUGAAGAAACAAACAUAUAUUAAUAAAUAAUAAUCAAGGUUAAAUUAAUGUUAAACAGCAAUAUUCAUGGCUAAAUCACAACUCCACAACUAUGAGUUUUAACCACUAUUAAUAAUAGCAAACAAUUUCAUCAAUGUUGGAUAAUUGAAAAUAUUAAGAAAAGAGGAAGAAAACUGAGAUCUCUUCGCUCCCUAAUGUUUCUCGUGUGUGUUAUCAAUUCAAAGUGGUGUCUCCCCUCUAAAAAUAAGAUUAAUCUUGCUUUUAUACGUGUUGGGUAGAUCUAGGGCCGAAAUAACCUUGUCCUGUGCAAAGUUCGACAUAAAUCUCGUCAUCAGCGUCUAGCCUAGUGCUAGGCGUCAUCCCUUGCGAUGGUAAAUUGUACUCACUGUCUGGUGCGCUACAUAUAGCGUGGGGCGGUGCUUGUGACACUGAAAAUCUCUCUUUCCCUUAUUUCAUCCGUUUUGGCUCUAAUCUCGCACAUUUCACCUCCAAUUGCUUGCGGAUGAUUCCUACACAUAAAAAUACCUUAAAUUAAUAUAAAUCAACACAUUUUCAUCCUAAAUUCAUAAAACAAGAAUAAAGCAUAAGGCGAUAUAUAUAUAUAUAUAUAUAUAUUAAGCUAUACAUCAUGUAUCUAUGAUACAAUGAUGUAGUGAUGCAAGUAGCGCAACCCCUCCCCCAACCCCCAACUCACUCACACAACCAAUAAAAAGCACUUAUUUUCAUUUAUAGACCCCUAUUUUCUAACGAAAUACUCGUACGGAACAAAUACCUCGCGAAUAGGCUGAUUAGCCAUUUCAUAAACUAAUUAAUGGGAAGUCUUUUCCUUAAAAGUUGAAAAUAAAACCUUAAAUCACGCAAUUCAAAGAAAGUAAUAGCUGAAAUGAAGGUUUCUGAAUCAUUUCUACAAAAGGAAAAACAUCAUUAGCAUUUAAGUCCUAAAUCAUCAUUAAUUAGACAAGAUUCUUCACGGAUAAUAAUAUUACCCUUUUAGAUAAUAAAGUAUUACGAAUAAAAAAAUAAAACAUUUUAUUGUAUAAUAUAAAUCAUACUAAAAGACUACAUAAUAAAUUCCAAGUAAAUCAUCUCACUUUCUUCAACAAAUAUUAACAUUUUUUAGAAAAUAAAGUCAUUUAUAUUAUUAAACUUUGUAUCGAUCAAUCUUCCUAAUAAAUUAUUUAGGAAAAUAAACAUAAAAAAACUCGUUUAUUUAACAUGUGGCUACUGUAAUAAGAAAAAAAAAUAAGACGUUACAGUUUGAACCUUGGUGUUAUAAGUUCUAAUUUCAGUAACCUCCUAAGUCUUAACAUCUGUUGUCUAAUAAGUCUCUCUUUUCCUUGAUUAAAGUUGUAAAAAUAAGAAAUAUUUUUAAAUCUUCAUUGGUUGGCAAUUUUUCUAGAUUAGGUAAAUCCAAGUAGGUUCAAGAAAACUUCAGCUGUUAAACAUAUAAUUAGUUAAAUAAAAGUCAAGUUCUUUUAAGAUUUAGGGCCUGUUUGACAUAAUUUUUUUUACUUUUUCGGAAUUAGUAUUUAUUCAUGAAAAUUUCAACUUUCACUUGAAGUUGAAUUUUAUAAAUUUUUUUUACUUCAAAAACUUAUUUUUUUUAAAAUUUUCACGUCAAAUUAUUCAUAAAACUAAAAAACAACUCCAAAAUGUUUCAUGAUUUCUUUUUCUUUUUCAGGAAUUUCAUAAUUCUUACGUCCAAAGACUCACUCAGGAGUCGUUUGGCUGAAAAGAAGUUAUUCGAGAUUAAUUAUCAUGGGAUUAACUAUUUUAUCUUUUUAUGAGGAUAAAAAAAUAUUACAAUUCUGAGAUAAUUAAUUUCGAAAUUAAUUUUAAUAUAAUUUUCUCCCAACCAAAUAUGAUAACUCUUAUUAAAUUUAAUUUCGGAGUUAAUUAUUCCUUAUCUCUCAUAUCAAACGAGCCCUUAAUAUCGAAAAUGGAAUGCUAAGAUUUCUUGAGUGUGAAUAGUGUAGAUAGAGAUGAGUCACAUGUGAUUAUUUCCUUAAAAGUCUGCAAGCUCAGUUCCAAAUAAGCAUGCUUCUUGUUCAGUAAAGUUGAAAAAAAAGCUACACAGAAGACUAUAAACAAAACUAUACUAUAUAUAUUCACUUAACUGGCAAACUACAUAAAACGAUAUAGCUUUAUGUCCAUAUAUAAACAUAGCCAAAAAUAUCAUUAUUUUAUUACUACCAAUGUCUUUUUGUGAGAAGAAAAAGCAAAAGACAAACACAGGGAAGAGAGAGUAUAAUAUAUGAUGAAAAAGUUAAAGUUUUGAUUGGUUUUGUGUUUGUGUAUUAUUUGGUGUAUUGAAUUUGUUUAGUUAAAAAAAUUCAGUCUGUUUAGACCAUCACUAUCAAUUUAUUUUACAGCUUUACUUAUUACAACUCCAUAAGUUUCAAUCUUUGUCUCUUUAAUUGAUCUUUUCUUCAGUUAUUUGAAUUAGUCAAGCUGUUAACGUUUUUGGGUUUUCAAGAAAGAUUUAAGAAAGUGACCCUUUUUAUGUUUUUAUGCUAAAGUUUUAAUCUUUUUCUCAAGAUUCAGUUUAAGUGAUCUUUUUUAGCUUUUGGGUGUUUUUCAAUUUGUGGUUUAGUGAUAACUGUGGAGGAAAUUAGAGGAAAUAUACUAAAGUUUUAAUCUUUUAUGGUAAAGUUUUAAUCUUUUUUCAAGAUUCAGUUUAAGUACUCUUCUGGGUGUUUUUCAAUUUGUGGUUUUAGAUAUUACUGUGGAGGAAAUAUGCUAAAGUUUUAAUCUUUUUAUGGUUUUUUGGUAAAGUUUUUAAUCUUUUUUCAAGAUUCAGUUUAAGUGAUCUUUUUUCUCAUUUCGGUAUUUUUAAAUUUGUGGUUUCAAAGAUGACUGUGGAGGAAAGGGAGAAUUAUGAUAAUUUUCCUAUUGGUAUGAGAGUUCUUGCUGUUGAUGAUGACCCAAUUUGUUUGAAGUUAUUGGAUGGAUUGCUUAGGAAAUGCCAAUAUCAUGGUAUGUUUCUUCUAUGGUUUUUGCUUAAUUCUUUUGGUGUCUUAAAUAUUUUCAUUUUGGGGUUUUAAUUUGGAGUUCUUGGAAAUUUUGUGAAUUGAUCUGUAAUUUGAGGUUUAAUUCCAUAUUCUGCUGUUUGAGAAGUUGUUUUCUGUUCCAUUUUUUUUAAUAACUGUGUUCUGAUUAAGACUUCCAAAAGGAGUAGUUUAGAUCUUUUUAUGUAGUAAAGGAGCAGUUUAGAUUUUAACUCUAAGAAAAAGCUUUUCAAUUAUUUUUCAUAGUUCCAAGACUUUGUCAUGUUUUUCAGUUGCUGUUAGUUGACACUUUGCUUUUUUUCCUGGUCAUGCAUGGUUCAUUUUUCUUAUGGAUUAGAUUGUGGCUUUUCAACAAUGAAAGUCAACUAGAAAAAGAGUAAUUUUGGAUUUCUUAUGAUUUUAUUUUAGGCUUUUUUUAAAAAAUAGUUCUAGUACUAUGUAACUGUUAAUAAUAAAGUCCAAAUUCUCCAUUUUGUACUCUCUCAUUCUGAGUUCAAGUUAUCGAUAUGGUUCCCACGAACAUAUGAGAUUUUGAUCUUUCAAUUUGUCCUAUGCAUAGUUUGAAUUGAAGCCUAGUUUUCUAAGAUGUUCAUUGGAGUUCAACUAAGCUCAUGACUCAUUUACCACUGUAAAUUUAUUGGGAGAUUUGAAUUAUUUGGUCUGUCGUUUGGAACUUCCAAGAACUGAUUUUCUCUAAGAUGUUCUUUGGUUCUUCCGCAGAGAAAUCUUAAGUUACAUUGCGAAUUUUCUGAAUAUGAUCUGUUGUGUCACAGUAACUACGACAAGUCAGGCAAGAACGGCCUUGAAAAUGUUGAGGGAAAACCGAGACAGAUUUGACCUGGUAAUCAGUGAUGUCCACAUGCCUGAUAUGGACGGCUUUAAACUUCUGGAGCUUGUUGGUCUUGAGAUGGAUCUUCCCGUCAUAAGUAAGUACAGUCAAACCUUUAUAUAAUAACUUCUCUUGUUCUCACGUUUUCCAUAGUGAAUGACUAAUAUACCUAUAGUAACAUUUGACGUUUAGAUCUUAUUUGGCUGUUACAGAGAGGCAAAAUAUAACAUUACAAGUCGGUUCCGAGAAAAGCUUGAUGUUGUUAUAGAGUGGUCUAACUGUAUAAAUCCCUUCAUUUUUCUUACUUGUUGAUCCAUCCUUGAUGUUCUUUCCGCUGGCUUCCGGUAGAUAAAAUAUUCUUGCAUCAAGCUUUGAAUAUCUUUCCGUUUACUUAUGUUGAACUAUUUUGUCCAGUGUUAUCAGCAAACAGUGAUAGCAGACUUGUAAUGAAAGGGAUAACUCACGGUGCUUGUGACUAUUUGGUGAAACCUGUCCGGCUUGAGGAGCUGAAGAAUAUAUGGCAACAUGUAAUAAGAAAAAAGAAAGUUGAACCUAAGAACCACAUCAAGUCUGAUGAUCAAGACAAGGCAAAUCAGGGAGGUGGAGAAGGUGGCAGAGGACCACAGCUUUCAGGUAAUGCAGAUCAAAACGAGAAGCUUAACAAGAAAAGGAAAGAUGAAGAAUACGAAAGCGAUGAAAAUGGAAAUGAAGAUGACGAUCCAACAACUCAGAAGAAACCUCGUGUUGUUUGGUCUAUAGAGCUUCACAGGAAGUUUGUUGCAGCUGUUAAUCAGUUAGGCCUUGAAAGUGGGUUCUUUAGCAUUAGUAUGGUAGUUGUUUUCUAUCUUUAUUAUGGAUGUUUCCAUAUUAACGGACUGUUUACUCAUCCUGUUUGUAAUGCAGAAGCUGUUCCUAAGAAGAUUCUCGAUAUGAUGAAUGUUGAUGGACUUACAAGAGAGAAUGUGGCUAGCCAUCUUCAGGCAUUAACCUCUCAUUGUUCUUUUAUAAUUCUAUAUAUUGCGAUUGAGUCCCGUUUUUACGAGUUUAGCUGGCUAUUGAACUUAAGAAUGGGAAAGAUCAUAUAGAAAUUUUCUUGCUACAUUUUCACAAAUGUUAGUUAGCUAAUGUCUGCAUUUUAUUUUUUAAAUAAGCAUUUGAAAAACAAUGAAGGGUAGCAAUGCAGUAAUUCUCUAUAACAAUCACAAUGGUGUUCUAUGAGUUGUCUUGUGCGUAAUUUCCUUUUCUUAAGAGAAGCACAAUGGUAUAUAGUUUGAAAAGUUUUAAUAAGGCUUUUCUUUUUGUGUCACAGAAGUAUAGGCUCUACUUGAAAAGGAUCAGCUCAGAAGCAACCCAGCAAGCGAACAUGGUUGCCGCAUUAGGUGGAAAAGAUUCUGCGUACAUGCGAAUGGGUUCACUUGACGGGCUUGGUGGUUUUCGAACAUUGGCUGGAUCUGGAAGGUAUGGUCAGGCCAGCUUAUCAUCAUCAUAUGCAUCAGGAGGUAUGCUCGGCAGGCUAAAUAGUCCUGCCGGUGUGAGCCUUCGCAGUCUGGCAUCAUCGCCGCUGCUCCAACCUAAUCAUGGUCAAAGUUUAAGCAACUCCAUGAAUUCUUUUACGAAGUUGAAUCCAAAUGUUCCACCUGUAAGCCAGAAUGCUAGUUUAUUCCAUGGAAUUCCUGCAUCAUUGGAGCUUGAUCAAUUACAGCAGAGUAAGUGUGCCAUACGCAUGGGAGAACUAAAUCCUUUGGAUGAGCACGGACUGCUCACAGCGGCCAGUAGUACAUUCACAGACUCUAGAUCUGUGGUUGGUAACUCAAACAGCUCGUUGUCCAAUUUCUUAAGUAAUCCUAUAUUGCUUCAAGUAAACUCCCAGCAACCACUGACAGGAGGAGGAUUUGGAAAUCAACCUUCUCUCAAUGUCGCUUCUUUUAGCUCUGAUGCCUUUAAUACUGGAGUAAGUGGUUCUUCCAAUUUUCUGGACCAUAGUAGAUAUAAUGAGAAUUGCCAAAACUCUAUCCAGCCUGUGAAGUUGCAGUCAAGUUCUUUUCCUUUGUCUGAACCUUUUAGUAACAGCCAUUUGCCUCAAGAUAGGGUAAGAGAGAAUAGGACUUCAGCCGGCCCUCAUAUGCAGAACAGCACUGUCGAUUUUUCUUCCUCGACCAUAGUAUCCCUACCUUUUGAAGCUUCAAGAGGAGAAACACAAUGCCUGGAAAGUUUAGGGGGUGGUGUUCAGAUUAUGAAUCAAGCGCACUACCAACAGUGGCCGGAUCAGAACCAACAUUAUUCCCAGAACUCAAACCAUAUUUUUGGCAACAUGAGCUCUCAAGUUUCCAGCAAUGGUGGUGUGGCGUCUUUAUCUCAUAGUAUGGACCAAAACAAUGAAGUCGUCCACAGAGGGGUUGACGUCUCUUUGAUUGGCACAUCAAAUGGAGGUUCUUCAGCACUCAUACAACAUAGUCCCGACUCGAGGACGAGGACAAGUGAAGACUAUCUCUUGGAGACAACAAAGCAACAAGUUGGUUUUCUUCCUCAGGGCUAUGGCUCCCUUGAUGAUCUAAUGAGUGCAAUGAAACGGGUAAGAUAACCUUCAUUGGACUUGCUUUCUUAGUUUUUAAGUUUUCAAAUGUUUUAUUCUGAAGUUGUAAGUAUUAGAUUCUGAGACCUGAAUGGUAAUGUUAGUUGGAUAUGUACUAUUGAUUUUGAAAUGAAGAUGAAUUCCACAGCCUCUUGUAGGAAUGUAGGGUAAACUCUAUACAAUACACCCUUGUGGUCCUGGCCUUCCUCGAACCCCGCCCAUAGCGGGAGCUUAGUGUACCGGCUGUCCUUUUUUUUAAACCUAAAUCUUCUGUCUCAAGCUAUGUUACUCGGAUUCUCCAGAAAUAUUGCCGGGUGCGUGUCGGAUCCUUCAAAAGUAGUGUAUUUUUGAAGGAUCUGACACGGGAGCUGCAACAUUUUGGAGAGUCCGCGCAACAUAGGUCUCAAAUAUAACUGAUCAAGCUUUUCUUGAGGAAAUGACCCUUAAAUUUAGUAUAUAUAAGUUGUUUAUAUAUAUUUGCUGUCUCAUAUUGCAAGACAUAAAUGAACAUACUAAAGGAUUUUAUUUGUGUGAUGCAGGAGCAACAAGAUGGAGCCAUGUUAGAAGGGGCAGAAUUUGGAUUUGAUGCUUAUUCUUUUGGGUCAGGUUUAUGAGGUUUUGUCACUAUCAUUUUAGGAAGAGGAUUUUAGGAUUGUAGCAAGAUUUAUUUGCUCAUUUAGGGUUCUAUAACAAUAUGCCUAGAAGAACUACCAGUGCACCACUGCCCUCUUUUUCAUUGUUCAUUUCCAAUCCAGGAACGAUCGUAGAAAAUACUUAAAUGCUUUCUUGUUGUUUCUAAAGGGUCAGUUCUGUGAGUUCCAACAGACCAUUUGCUUUAGACUCAAGUAAUGUAUAUAUAUGCGGAAAAAAGAAGUGUAUGCAUAUAAGAAGAUUGCACUCAUGUUGAAUUCACUGACUCUGGAUCCUGAUCUGCCUCUGGAGGGGCUAUAUAAGGCGAGUCGACUGUCUGCAGAUUCAUGUAUCAGUGACAAUGUUAUCACCAAAAACUACUUAACUCGUGAUAGAUUGAGACUCUUCUCAUGAAGCAAUAAACUGUCUCUAAUAAUUCUGUUUAUUACUACUUUUAGUAUGAUAAAAUUUGUUUCAGUUGGCUUCUCCACAACUUUCAGUUAUUUCAGGACAAACAAGUGAAUAUCAGGCAUCUUGGCAUAACCAUGAUAUUUGUGUACUAGUGGAGAUACUCAUAAUGAAAGUACAAAACUAAGAGCCUUGGGUUCAAAUUUUAAGUAACUAAACAGUUACUUAUAUUAUAUAAUCCAAGCAUAAUGAAUUGCUGUAUAAAGCUUACUUCAAAUAGUUAUCAUUGCUCUUAAGUUUUUGCAAAAAAAAUUAGAUAGAUUUUGUGGGGUGUGCCAGGCCAAGGUUGUAGUGCAACACCAAAGCGAAACUUGAAAGUCCCAAUAGCAAGCUACCGUGGUGGACCUCUACGAAACAAAAUUAAUAAUAUCGUGUGAGUCGACAUAUUAAAUAUUAAAUUGAUAAGAACAGAUACUAACAAGUAUGCUUAUCUACGUUCAUGAUCUAUCUAUUUUAUACUAAUUUCCUUUUGUUCUGCUUUCUUCCACUUCCAGUGUGGGACACUACACAAUGGAAACUGCAUAAGUCUUUGUUUAUCUUGAACAAUCCCUCCCCNNNNNNNNNNNNNNNNNNNNNNNNNNNNNNNNNNNNNNNNNNNNNNNNNNNNNNNNNNNNNNNNNNNNNNNNNNNNNNNNNNNNNNNNNNNNNNNNNNNNNNNNNNNNNNNNNNNNNNNNNNNNNNNNNNNNNNNNNNNNNNNNNNNNNNNNNNNNNNNNNNNNNNNNNNNNNNNNNNNNNNNNNNNNNNNNNNNNNNNNNNNNNNNNNNNNNNNNNNNNNNNNNNNNNNNNNNNNNNNNNNNNNNNNNNNNNNNNNNNNNNNNNNNNNNNNNNNNNNNNNNNNNNNNNNNNNNNNNNNNNNNNNNNNNNNNNNNNNNNNNNNNNNNNNNNNNNNNNNNNNNNNNNNNNNNNNNNNNNNNNNNNNNNNNNNNNNNNNNNNNNNNNNNNNNNNNNNNNNNNNNNNNNNNNNNNNNNNNNNNNNNNCCACAACUUAUGACUUAAGAUGCCUUGCAGUAACAAGGUCUACUCAACUUGAAUUCCACGUUAAUGGAACUUGUGUCAUGAAUGUAUCACAUAAUUUUCAAUUAUUAUUUGUAUUAUAAGCUAAUCAGAACUUUGAUUAUUUGACCAAGGUAUUUGAUUUGCAAAAUGCACCAUUAGUUUAUACUCUUUCAUAUAUAUAGUGCAAUUGGGUUUUUAUACCGUUUCUCAGCAGAUCAUAUUUCUUGCUUAUCAAUUAAAUUAACAUCUGCUUCUUAAACUAAGGUAACCAUUUAAGAGAAACAAUGAACAACGGAAAUUUUGCAUGCUCUUAGAAAGGCAUGAGUACAGCAUUCAUUGGAUGCACUUAUAUUUGGAAAAAAUAAAUACUUUAAAUCACCCUUAAAUUUGGUUCAGAUUAUUAAUAUCCUUUCCGAAUUAUGCCCGAUCUUAAUUACUCCCCUCAACUUGGUAUUUUGAGGGUCAUUACCCCCCUAGACGUUGAUGUGAUAAAAUGUGUGGGUGCACUCGUCUGCCACGUGAAUUUUUCUGUCUAUGUGGCAUUUUUUAAAAAAUAAAAUAUUUUUAUCUUUUAAAGAAUAUUACUUUUUUAUAUAUUUUUUUCGAAUAAAAUAUAAUAAAAUAAGGAUAUAACUACAUUAUUUAGGCUAAAUAUUUUUAUCUAGCCAAACUAAUAAAGUUUUAGAUAAUUAUUUUUUUUGAAUUUGACCUGAAAAUAAAUAUUAAUACAAUUAAAAUAAAUAGUCCUGUUUUCAGAAUACUUGCAGACGAUGUAUAAUUUUUCAACUAUGUAUUUUUUUUAUAACUUUUUAGAUGUCUUGACUAUUUAUUUCAAUUGUAUAAAUCUUUAUUUUUAGGUCAAAUUCAAAAAAAAUUAACUAAAACUUUAUUAGUUUUGGCCAAAAAUAUUUAGCCUAAAUAAUGAAGUUAUAUCCAAGUUAUAAAUUUUAUUCGGAGAAAUUAUAUAAAAAAUAAUAUUCUUAAAAAGGUAAAAAAAUAUUUUCUUUUUUUAAAAAGGCCACAUAAACAAAAAAAUUCACGUGGCAGGUGAGUGCACCCACACUUUUUGCCACAUCAACGUCUAGGGAGGUAAUGAUCCUCAAAAGGUCAAGUUGAGAGGGGUAAUUAAGAUCGGACAUAGUUCAUGGAGGAUACUAAUAAUUUGAGCCAAGUUUAGGAGUAGUUUAAUGUAUUUACCCAAAAUCUUCGAAUUAUAUUUGGUGGGGUGAGCCUACCAAGGUAAUAGUGCAAUGUCAAUGCGACACUAGAAACUCCCGAUAGCAAGCUACCGCGGCGGACCAAAAAUGUACCCGAAACGACUUGAAAUUUCUUGGGCUUAUAGAAGUUUUUAACUAAUUCCAAUUGACCUGAAAUUUCAGAGGUCCAUAGGAACGUCCUACUGGUUUUCUAAUUUUUUUGACGGACUCAUAAGUACAGAAAUUCAGGACGAUUCUCGGAUUUUCUGUGCUAUAUAUAAUCCAGACCAUAUGCAUGAAUUCGGGCGACCGACGUCGAAUCUCCUAAAAUUUUACGUGCCCGUGAAAUAUGAUCUAAUAAACAACAAUCAUCGCAUCGCCAUGACCAUUCCUCAUUUUUUGGUGUUUUAGAGCCAUAACAUUGGAAUUCUGCCAUGUUCCCGGAUUUUCAUAUGUUAUAGCCCAUGCCAUCUGCAUGCAUCCAGGCGAUCGAACCCGAAUUGCCUAAAUUUUUGCCGGACCAUAAAAACGACCAUAAGAAACAAUAGUCAUCGCUUCGCCAUGACCUUUCCUUGUUUUUUGGUGUUUUAGGGCCAUAAAACUGGAAUUUUGCCCGAUUUCCAGAUUUUUCGUGUGCUAUAAAUAACGUCAUCUACAUACAUCUGGGCGACCGGACCCGAAUCUCCUACAAUUUUUUCUGCCUAUAAAAAACGACAUAAGGAAUAAUAGUCAUCACUUCGCCAUGACCGCUCCUCGGUAUUUUGCAUUUCAUGGCCAUAAAAUUGGAAUUUCACCUGAUUUCUAGAUUUUCAUGUGCUAGCCCACAUCAUCUGCAAUGCAUUCGAAUGACUAGGCACAAAUCGCCUAAAAUUUUGUCAGCCCAUCAAAAAUUACCUAGGGAAUAUGAGUCAUCGCUUCGUCAUGAUAGCUCCUGGUUUUUUCUGUAUUUUAGGGUCAUAAAAUUGGAAUUUUUUCCUAUUCGCAGAUUUUCCUGUUUUAUAGUUCGUGCCAUCUGCAUGCAUCCGGGCGGUCGAACCCAAAUUGCCUAAAUUUUUCCAGCCCAUUAAAAUGCCUAAGAAACCAUAGUCAUCGCUUCUCCGCGAUCGUUUCUCUUUUUUGGCAUCUUUAGGACAUAAAACGAAAAUUAUGCCCUAUUUUCAUAUUUUCGUAAGCUAUAGUCCAUGCCAUUUGCAUGCAUCCAGCCGAUCGGACCCAAUUCAUCUAAAAUUUUGUUCGCCUAUAAAAACUGGUCUAAGGAACAAUAAUCAUCACAUCGCCAUGACCGUUCCUCACUUUUUGUCGUUUUAGAGCCAUACAACUAAAAUUCCACCCGUUUCUUAGAUUUUUGUAUAUUAUAACCCACGCCAUUUGCAUGCAUUCAUACGACCACACUCGAAUUGCCUAAAAUUUUCCGACCCAUCAAAAAUGACCUAAGAGAUAAUAUUCAUCGCUUCGCCAUGAUUGUUCCUUAUUUUUUGGCAUUUUAGGGCCAUAAAAUUGGAAUUCCACCCCAUUCUCUACUUUCUGUAUGUUUCCCAUGCCAUCUGCAUGCAUCUAGGAAAUCAGACCCGAAUCUCCUAAAAUUAACUAUCCUAUUAAAAUGAUCUAAGGAAUAAUAGUCAACGAUUCGCCAUGACCAUUCCUCCUUAUUUAGCAUUUUAGAGCCAUAAAAUUGAAAUUCUGGAUUUUUUAUGUGUUAUAGCCCACGCCAUCUGCAUUCAUAGGGCGACUGGACCCAGAUCACCUAAAAUUUUAUCGUCGUAUUCAAAAUACGUAUGGAACAAUAAAUAUCGCUUCGCCAUGACCAUUCCUCAUUUUUCGGCGUUUUAGGUCCAUAAAACUAAAAUUUCGUCUGAUUACCAAAAUUUUCGUGUGGUAUAGCCUAUGCCAUCUACAUGCACUAGGGUGACCGGACCUGAAUUGCCUAAAGUUAUGCUGGACCGUAAAAACAACUUAAGUAACAAUAGUCAUUGUCUCGCCAUGAUCGUUCCUCAUUCUUUGGGAUUUUAGGGCCAAGAAAUCGAAAUUCCGUCUAAUUCUUAGAUUUUCGUAUGUAUUAGCCCACGCCAUUUGUAUUGGUCCAGACGAAUGUACUCGGAUCACCUAAUAUUUUUCCAGCCUAUGAAAAAGGACCUCAGAAAGAAUAAUCAUCAUCUCACCAUGACUGAUCCUCGUUUAUGGUAUUUUAGAGCCAUAAACUAGAAUUUCGCCUGAUUCCUAGAUUUUCAUGUGCCAUGCCAUCUGCAUGGAUCCGGGGAACCAGACCCGAAUCGCUUUAAAAUUUUGUUGUUCUAACCGUGCCUCAUUUUUGACUUUUUAGGGCUAUAAAAUAGGAAUUCUGUCUGAUUUCCAGAUUUUCUUGUGCUAUAGCCUACACGAUCACCGUUUUUCUUUUUUGGCAUUUCGAGCCAUAAAACUGGAAUUUCGUCUGAUUCCUAAUUUUAUAUGAUAUAGCCCACGCCAUAUGCAUGGUUGUGGACCAGACCCGGACCACCUAAAGUUUUGCUGGCCCAUUAAAAAUGUCCUAAGGUAAAAUAAUCAUCGCCUCUCCAUGACUAUUACUCGUUUCUUGGCGUUUUAGGGCCAUAAAAUGGAAUUUCGCUAAUUCCCAGAUUUUCGAAUGCCAUAGCCUGCGCCAUGUGUUGCCCGAACCCAGAUUGCCUAAUAUUUUACAUGCCGAUCAAAAACUAUCUAAGGAAUAAUAGUCAUCGUCUCGCCAUAACCGUUCUUCAUUUUUUGGCUUUUUAGGGUCAUAAAACUUGAAUUUUGCCAGAUUUCCAAAUUUUUGAAUGUUAUAGCCCAAGCCCUCUGCAUGGCUCGGGGCGACAUGACCCAGAUAGCGUAAAAUUUUGCCGCCUCAUUAAAAACAACCUAGAACGAUAGUAAUCGCCUCUCCAUGACCGUUUCUCCUUUUUCGCAUUUUAGGGCCAUAUAACUAGAAUUCUCCCAGUUUUACAUGUGUUAUAGCCCACACAAUCAGCAUGGAUUUGGACAACCGGACCUAGAUCACUUAAAAUUUUAUCGGCCUAUCAAAUAUGAUCUAAGGAAGAAUAGUCAUUGCUUCCUUAUGACCAAUCCUCAUUUUUGGCGUUUUAAGGUCAUAAAAUUAGAAUUUCGCAUGAUUCCUAGAUUUUAAUGUGAUAUGCCCAUGCCAUCUGCAUGGGUCCGGGAAAACGAACCCGAAUUGCCUAAAAUUACGUCGGACCAUCAAAAAUGUGCUAAUGAAGAAUAGUCAUUACCUCGCCAUGACUCAUCCUCGUGUUUCGGCGAUUUAAGUCCAUUAAAUUGGAACUGUACCCGUUUUCCUUAUUUUCGUGUGCUACAGUCCAUGCCAUCUGCAUGGUCCAAGCGAUCGGAUCUGGCUCUCCUAAAAUUUUGACGGACCUUCAAAAACAAUCUAAGGGACAAUAGACACCGCCUCACCAUGAUUGUUCAUUAUCUUUUGGUAUUUAAGCGCAAAAAAUGGAAUUCUGCUCGAUUUCAAGUUUUCAUGCGCAAUAGUCCACGCCAUCUACAUGACUCUAGGCGACCGGACCUGAAUCCCCUAAAUUUUUCCAGCCCAUAAAAAUUGACUAAAGGAACAAUUGCCAUCGCUUCGUCAUGAUCAUUUCUCAUUUAUUCCUAUUUUAUGGCCAUAAAGUAGGAAUUCUGCUCGAUUUCCAGAUUUUCUUGUGCUAUAGCCCAUGCCAUCUGCAUGGGUCAUGGUGACCGGACCCUGAUUGCCUAAAAUUUUUGCAACCUAUCAAAAAUGACCUAAGGAAGAAUAGUUACCGCCUCCCCAUGGUUGAUCUUUAUAUUUUGGCGUUUUAGGGUCUUAAAGCUGGAAUUUUUCCCGAUUCCUAGAUUUUCGAAUGUUAUUGCCCAUGCCACUUGCAUGGGUCCAAGUGUCGAACCCAGAUAGCCUAAUAUUUUUCUGGCCCAUAAAAAAUAACCUAAGAAACAAUAGUCAUCAUCUCGCCAUGACUUUUCCUCAUUUAGUGCUAUAAAACUGGAAUUUUACCCGAUUCCUAAAUUUUCUAAUGAUAUAGCCCAUGCCAUCUGCAUGGAUCCAAGGGACCGGACCUAGAUAGCCUAAAAGUUUGUCGUCCAUCAAAAAUAACCUAACAAACAAUAGCCAUUGGUUUUCCAUGACCGUUCCUAUUUUUUUGGUAUUUAGGGCAUAAAAUUGGAUUGCUCAAUUCCUAGAUUUUCGUGUGUUAUAGCCCACACCAUCUGUAUGAGUCAAGGCAACCGAACCUGGUCACAUAAAAUUUUGCCGACUCAUAAAAAAUGGCAUAUGAACAAUAUCCAUUGUCUCUCCAUGGUCGUUCCUCGUUUUUGACAUUUAAGGUUAUAAACUAGAAUUUCGCUCAAUUCCUAGAUUUUUAUAUAAUAUAGCACGCGCCAUCUGGGUGGGCUCGGCCGAUCGAACCUGAAUCGCCUCAAAUUUUUUCGGUCAAUCAAAAAUUACCUAAGGAACAAUAGUUGUUGUCUCAUCAUCAUCCUUGGCGUUUUAGUGCCAUAAAACUAGAAUUUCGCUUGAUUUUAAUGUUUUCAUGUGCUAUAGCCCGCGCCAUUUGUAUGGGUCUUGGUGACUGGACCCGGAUCGCCUAAAAUUUUGCAUGCUCAUAAAAAUAACCUAAGGAAUAAUAAUCAUCAUGUCGCCAUAGCCAUUCCUCAUUUUAUGGCAUUUUGGGGACAUAAAAUAUAUAUUUUUCAGAUUUUUGUGUGCUAUAGACCAUGCUAUCUGUCGGAUCUCCUAAUAUUUUGUCGGCUUAUAAAAAUGAUCAAAGGAUCAAUAGUCAUCGCUUUGCCAUGUCCGCUCCUUAUUUUUGUCCUUUAAAGGCCAUACAACUGAAAUUUCGUCCGAUUUUUAGAUUUAUAUGAUAUAGCCCACGACAUCUACAUGCAUCCAUGUGACCAGAACUGAUUGACCUAAAAUGUUGCCGGCCCAUAAAAAAUUACCUAAGAAACAAUAGUCAUCUAUACGUCGUGGCCGUUCCCUAUUUUUAGCAUUUAGGACCAUAGAAUUGGUAUUUCGCCCGAUUCCUAGAUUUUUAUGUGUUAUAGCCACGCCAUUUGUAUGUAUUCGAGCGACCGAACCCAGAUUGCCUAAAAUAUUACAGUCUAUAAAAAUGACUUAAGGAACAAUAAUCAUCGCUUACUAUGAGCGUUCCUCAUUUUUUGGCGUUUAAGGGCCAUAAAAUAGAAAUAUGUCUAAUUCACAGAUUUUCGUAUGAUAUAGGCUAUGCUAUUUACAUACAUCCGGGUGACUGGACCCAAAUCGCCUAAGAUUUUGUCGGCCCACCAAAAUCGACCUAAUAAUGAUAGUCAUCGUUUUGCCAUGACCGUUCCUAUUUUUUGGAAUUUUAGGUCCAUAAAACUUGAAUUACGCCUAGUUUCCAAAUUUUCUUAUGUUAUAACCCAUGUCAUCUACAUGCAUCCGGGCAAUAGAACCUGAAUCGCUUAAAAUUUUGUCAGCCCCAUAACAAUGACCUAAGAAUAAUAGCCAUUGUUUCUCCAUAAACAUUCCUCAUUUUUUGGCGUUUCAAGAUCAUAAAACUAGAAAUUCGCUUGAGUUUCAUAGCCUACGCCAUAUGCAUGCAUCCGGGCGACCAAACCCGAAUAACUUAAACUUUUGUCGGCCCAUAAAAAAUAACCUAAAGAAAAAUAAUUAUUGUUUCGCCAUGACCGUUUCUUGUUUUUGGCAUUUUAGAGCUAUAAAAUUGGAACUUUGCUCGAUUCCGAGAUUUUCAUGUGUCAUAGCCCACGCCAUGUGAGUCGGUCAUGACGGCCGGAAUCGGAUCGCCUAAAAUUUUAUCUUCCCAUAAAAAAGACCUAAGAAAAAACAGUCAUUUCCUUGUCAUGAACGUUUUUUGACAUUUUAGGGCCAUAAACUUGAAUCCUGCCCUAUUCCAAAAUUUUUAUGUGUUAUAGCUCAUGCCAUCUAUAUAGGUCCAGGCAACUAGACCCAGAUCGCCUAAAAUUUUGGCGGGUAAUAAAAAGUGAAUUAAGGAACAAUUAUCAUCACCUCGCCAUGAUUGUUCUUCAUUUUUGAUGUUUUAGCGCCACAAAAUUGGAAUUCUGUCAGAUUACCAAAUUUUCAUGUGCUAUAGCCCACAUUAUCUGUAUAGGUCUAGGCGAACAGAUUUAGAUCGCCUAAAAUUUUGUCGGACCAUAAAAAUAACCUAUGGAACAAUAGUUAUCGUCUUGCUAUGAUCAUUUCUUGUUUUUUGGCGUUUUAGGGCCAUAAAUUAGAAUUUUGCCCGAUUUUCAUAUUUUCGAGUGCUAUCCUUCACGCUAUCUUAUUGGAUAUGAGCAACUCGGAUAGCCAAUAUUUUACCAGCCUAUCAAAUACAACCUAACGAACAAUAGUCAUCACUUCGCUAUGACCGUUCCUAGUGUUUUUUCGCGUUUUAGCGUCAUAAAAUAGGAACAAUAGUAAUCGUCUCACCAUAAUCAUUCCUCGUUUUUUGGCAUUCAGGGCUAUAAAUUUUAAAUUUCGCAUGGCUCCUAGAGUUUUGAGUGAUAUAGCCCACGCCAUCUGCAUGGGUCCAGGUGAUUGACCUAGAUCGCCUAAAAUUUUAUCCGCCUAUCAAAAAUGACCUAAGAAACAAUAGUUAUCGUCUCGCCAUGAAUGUUGCUCAUUUUUUUGCGUUUAAGGGCCAUAAAACUGGAAUUCCUCCCGAUUCCUAGAUUUUCGUGUGUAUAGCCCAUUCCAGUUGCAUGGGUCUGGGCGACCGGACACAGAUCACCUAAAAAAUUAUUGGCUCAUCAAAAAUAACCUAAGGAACAAUCGGUAUCGCCUUACCAUGACCAUUUCUCAUUUUUGGCAUUUCAAGGCCAUUAAACUAAAAUUUUGCUCAAUUCCCAGAUUUUAGUGUGUUGUAGCCCACUUCAUCUGCAUGGAUCUAGCUUGCCUAAAAAUUUUCCGGCCCAUAAAAUAUGAUCUAAUGAACAAUAUCAUCGUCCCGCCAUGACCAUUCCUUGGCGUUUAAAGCCAUAAAUUUGGAAUUUCACUCGACUCCUAGAUUUUGUGUGUUGUAACCCAUGCUAUUUGUAUGGGCCGGGGAGACCGGACCUAAUCUCUUAAAAGUUUGCCAGACCAUCGAAAAUGAAAUAAGGAACAAUAGUCAUCGUCUCACCAUGAUCAUUCCUCGUUUUUUGGAGUUUUAGGGCCAAAAACUGAAAUUUUGCCUCAUUCCCAUAUUAUCAUGUCGUAUAGCCAAUAAAAUUUUAAUUCCCAUACUCAAUCACCUAAAAUUUUACUGGUCCAUUAGUGACGACCUAAGGAACAAUAGUCAUCGCCUUACCGUGAUUGUUCCUUAAUUUUUAGUGUUUUAGGGCCAUAAAACUGCAAUUUCGCUUUAUUCUCAUAUUUCUGUAUGCUAUAGUACACACCAUCUCAUGGGUUCGAGCGAUUGGACCCGGAUCUUAAGGCCUUUAAAUUGGAUUUUACUUGUUUCCCUAAUUUUCGUAUACUACAGCCCACGCCAUUUGCAUGGGUCCAGGCGACAGGAUCCGGAUCUCCUAAAAUUUUGCCGACCAAUACCGCCUAAAUUUAUUUUGGCCCAUAAAAAAUAACCUAAGGAACAACACUUAUCGCCUCCGCAUGACCAUUCCUUAUUUUUUGGCCUUUUAGGGCCACAAAAUUAAAAUUCUGCCGAAACAACCUAAAUAACAAUAGUUAUCGUCUCGCCAUGACCAUUCUUCAUUUUUUUUUUUGCUUUUUAGGGCCAUAAAAUUAUAAUUCCGACUGAUUUCCAGAUUUUUGAGUGCUAUAUAGCCCACACCAUCUACAUUGGUCCGUACAACCGGACCUAGAUCGCAUAUAAUUUUGUUUGCCCAUCAAAACGACGUAAGAAAAAAUAAUCAUCGACAUGAUUGUUCGAAUUUCAUUGCGUUUUAGGGGCAUAAAAUUGGAAUUCCGCUCGAUUUCUAAAUUUUAAUAUGUUGUAACUCGCGCCAUUUGCGUGGGUCCGGGCUAUUGGACUUGGAUCAUCUAAAGCUUUGUCGGCCCAUAAAUGACGACCUAAGGAAAAUAGUCAUUGCUUAGCCAUGACCGUUCCUCAAUUUUUGGCAUUUUAGGGCCACAAAGAUGGAAUUCCGCCCGAUUUUUAAGUUUUCGUGUGCUAUGGCCCAUGCCAUUUGCAUAGGUCCGUGCGACCGGACCUGAAUCGUCUAAAAUUUCACCAGCCCAUAAAAAAGAUCUAAGGAAUAACAGUCAUCAUUUCGCCAUGAUUGUUCCUCGUUUUUUGAUGUUUUAGGGCAAUAAAACUGAAAUUUAAUCUGAUUACUAGAUUUUCGUGUGCCCCAUGCCAACUGAAUGGUUUUGGGCGACAAGACCCGGAUCACCUAAAAUUUUGCCGGCGCAUAAAUGACGUACGGAAUAGUAAGCAUCGCCGCACCAUGAUCAUUUCUCGUUUUUUUGGCGUUUUAGGGCCAUAAAAGUGAAAUUUCUCUCGAUUUGUAAAUAUUCGUGUGAUAUAUAGCUCAUGCCAUUGCAUGGUUCCGGGAAACCAGAUCUAGAUCGCCUAAAAUUUUAUCAGCCCAUCAAAAACGACCUAAACACAAUAGUCAUCGCCUCGCCACGACCAUUCCUUAUUUUUUGAUAUUUUAAGGCCAUAAAACUAAAAUUUAGCCUAAUUUCAGAUUUUUGUAUGCUAACUCACGCAUGUGCAUGGGUCUAUGUGAUCGGAUACGGAUCACCGAAAAUUUUGCCGGCCCAUAAAAAAUAACGUAAAGAACAAUAAUCAUCGUCUCGCCAUGACCAUCCCUUGUUUUUAGCACUUUAGGAUAUUAAAAUUGGAACUCCGUCCAAUUCUCAGAUUUUCGUAUGUUAUAGCCCGCACCAUUUAUAUGGUCCGGGCGACUGGACCCGCAUUGCCUAAAUUUUGCCGGCCCAUCUAAAAUGACUUAAGGAACAAUAGUUAUCGCUUCGCUAUAAGUUUUCCUCAUAUUUUGUGUUUUAGGAUCAUAAAACUAGAAUUCCGCCCAAUUCUCAAAUUUUCAUGUGUGAUUGCCUACACCAUCUAUAUGGAUCCGGGCGACAGGAGGCGGAUCACUUAAAAUCUUGUCGGCCUAUCGAAAACGACCGAAGGAACAAUAGUCAUCGUCUCGCCAUGACUGUUCCUCGUUUUUGGUAUUUUGAAGCCAUAAAAUUGGAAUUCCGCCCGAUAUUUCGUAUGCUAUAGCCCAUGCCAUCUGCAUUGGUCCGGACGACCGGACCUGGAUCACCUAAAAUUUCGUCGGCCCAUCAAAAAUGAUAUAAGGAAUAAUAAUCAUUGCUUCGCCAUCAACAUUUCUCAUUUUCUAGUGUUUUAGGGCCAUAAAACUGGAAUUCUACCUGAUUCUCAAAUUUUCGUGUGCGAUAACCUACUUUAUCUCUAUGGGUCUGGGCAACAAGACCCGGAUCACCUAACAUUUAGCAAUCCCAUAACAAAUGACCUAAAAAACAAUAGUUAUCUCCUCAGCAUAACUAUUUCUCAUUUUUUAUCAUUUUAGGCUAUAAUAAUGAAUUCAGUAUGAAUUCGGGUGAGCGACCCUGAAUCUAUAACAUUUCGUACAACCCAUCAAAAAUAACCUAAUGAACAAUAAUCAUUGCUUCGCCAUGACCGCUCUUCAUUUUUGAUAUUUUAGAGCCAUAAAAUAGGAAUUUAGAAUUAUUCCCAUAUUUUCGUAUGUUAUAAUCCACGCCAUCUGCAUAAUCGAGCGAUUAACCUCGAAUCUUCUAAAAUUUUGGGAGCCCAUACAAACGACCUAAUGAACAAUAAUAAUCGCUUCGCUAUGAUCGUUCCCCGUUUUUGCAUUUUUGGUCCAUAAAAUAGGAAUUAGGAUUAUUCCUAGAUUUUUUUUUUGUGUUAUAGUCCACGUCAUCUGCAUGAAUUCGGACGAUCGACCUCGAAACUCUUAAAUUUUGCAGGCACAUCAAACAUGACCUAAUCAACAAUAGUCUUUGCUUCGCCUUGAUAUUUAUUUUUUGGCGUUUUAGGGCCAUAAAAUAAGAAUUCGGAACAAUUUUCAUAUUUUUGUGUGCUAUUGUCCACACCUUCUACAUGAAUUCAGGUGACCAGCCACGAAUCUCCUAAUAUUUUUUAGGUCCAUCAAAAGCAACCUAAUGAAUAAUAGUCUUUGCUUAGUCAUGAUCGUUCCUCGUUUUUUGGCGUUUUAGGACCAUAAACAUGAAUUUAGGACAAUUUCCAAAUUUUUGUAUGUUAUGCUACUGUCCUGAGUAGCCUAAAAUUUUUUUGAGCCCAUUAGAACCGACCUAAUAAAUAAUAAUCAUUGCUUCUUCAUGAUCGUUCCUCGUUCAUUAGGAGAUUCAAAAUAAAAAUAAAAAGUAAUCACGUGAAAAAGUUAUGGGAAUUCAACAUGUGUAAUAUAUCUAGAAACAUAAUUAACCUUAUAUACACUGUAACAUUUGCCCAACUAACAACGACUUGUUUUACGACACUUGUCUAAAAGUUAGUGCUCCUAUAUAUGAUAAAUAGCAUCGUCAAUGCUAGAACAAUAAAUGAAGGUAAUAAAUAGGAGUAAUUAUGACAAUUAUGCUAAGCUCAUAAAUUAUAUUAGUUGUACAUAAAUUUAAAAAAAUCUUCAAAAAGUGUUACUGAUAUUGUUGCAUCUACUAUUUCUUUGUGACAAUGACAUGAUAUGAGCAAAAAUACUUUAAGAAUUACAUUAUAGAACUUUCAAGCAAAAUACAGUGAGUGCACCUGCACCUGCACCAAAUGUCUAAUCCAACAAACAUAUGGUCCCUUUGUUUUAAUGCUUCAACACUAAGUUACCAAUACCAAAUAUUGACAUGAAAUUCCACUUUGUUUGUAUCCAAGAACCUUCAUUGUCAAAGAAUACGUAAAGAAUCAACAUUCCAAACAGGCAACCAAGGAUAAAGAUUGUUUCAGCCUUGACUAGAUAUCAGAUCCGACCCUGAGAAUAGUCCCCUUUGAUAGGGAGACUAAAACUCGCCAUAAUGGGCUUUCUACGGUGCGAAUCCCGACUAGCCGAACCUCAAAGAGCUAAAACUCGCCCAUGGUAAGCUUUCUACAAUGCAAAUCCUGAUUAGCCGGUGGAUCUGCUUCAUCUUUUUAGGUUUAUGCUCUACUCCGAAUAAAGAUCCACCCUAUUUGGAUUUGAGUUCGGCACAUCGGAUGGGUGAACCCAAAACAAAACAAAACAUUUCACACAGAAUUCAAAUGCUUAUCACAUACUAUUGAUACUAUCAACUUUAUAAAGUUUCAGAGGCAAAAGACUUCCAUAAACAUAAGCUUAAACAUUUAGGAAUAUCACUAAAGACUGUUUUAAACACUCAUUUAAUUGUCUGUAGGUAAAAAAAUUCACCAUUGUACUGCAUUUGCCUACUUUCCAAGGAUUGAUUUGAUCCACCAAAUUCCUUUAGUGUCUUUGGGGGCAUCAUCAUUCUCUGGUGGGGGAUUAGUAUGUUGUGUCUUGUGGAGCUUGCUCACAUCAUAGCCUUCUUCUUUAGCCUUCUCAACAAGCUGGUUGUAUAUCUCAUCAUCAAGAGAAUUUUGCCUACAUAAUACCUGCCAACAAACCGCCGCCAGAUACAUUUUGUUAUGCCAGAAAACAAGAAUCCGUUAAAAAGAUAUGCACAUUUGAUAACCUAACAAACAGAAGGUUUGAAAUACAAGAAUGUUUCUAUACAACAACAAUAACAGACCCAGUGAAGCCCCGCGGAGUUUGGGGAGAGUAAUGUCUACGCAAAUGUUACCCCCUACCUUGGGAGGGUAGAGUCUACGUAAACGAUAUUCGUUUCAAUAGGGAUACAGAAAGUCAGACAAGAAUUAGUAUAUAUAUAUAGUCUGCCCUAUGCUUUUCUAGUCAAGCGAGGUAGUCGGAUGUAGUUGGUUUUCUGUGAAAUAGAUUAAUAGAGCAUAUAAUGUUGAUGGCAUGUCCAAGAUCUUAGGAAUGGGGAAGCUCAAAUGAGAUCAAAUGGGAUGAGCAUGCUGAACGGAAAGAUCAUUCACAAAAUUUAAACUGCAAAAUUGAGAUGCCCCAAAUUGUAAUCCAAGUUCUAUACCUUUAUUGUUUUCAUGCAACUAAGGUAUCAAACUUGGAAGAACUAAAAGUAUCACAGACUCGAUAUAACCCUUCAAGAAGUUACAACUGCAAGCAGAUCAACACAACUACCAAAAGAAAAAACAAAUGUUCAUAGACUCAAUCAUCGGAUGCUAGUUUCAAUGAUCGUCAAAUAACAAAUGAAAUACAACUACUAAGCUAUGCAGCUCGGCUCUCCAAAAAUGUCGUUGGGUGCGUGGCGAAUCCUCCAAAAUUAGUGUAUUUUUGGAGGAUCCGACAUGGGUGUGAUAGCAUUUUGGAGACUCCGCGCAACAUAGCUAUUAAGUGCCUUCUCAAGUUAUAGACCUAGAACACUACUUUAUUUGUUCAUGCCUCGGUAGCAUUCGCUAUUGAAGGUUAAAUUUGAAGGGAUUUUCUCAGUUUUGCUUCAACCUCCGAAUUUCAAAGAAGAUGCGUGUAUUUAAGCAAAAUGUGACAAUUUCUGUUAAUCUCAACUGAUACGAAGAGAUAACAAAUGAUCAAUCUUCUUUUAGGAGAAGGCCAGAUGGUUAAAGUCAAAUGGUUUCCCCCAAAUUUCUAUUUCAACCUCUGAAAUUCUGUCCUUAUCAUCUUAUAAAAAAGAGAUAGAGAUAUCUAUUAUCACUUUUUCAUACAUCUACCAGGAUUCUGAAACUGAAGGAAAAACAACACAAAACAAGACUCACUUUCUGAAUCACACAAACAAUUCAGUAUUCAAAACUUUGAAUACUAACUUUGAAUUUCAAAGGUUAAUAGGACUAAACAAUAAAAUUAUUGUGUAAGUUUUCCACAUUUUUUACCGGCAUAUCAGCCUCUUACAACACUAAAAACUCCUAGAAAACAUAGGACUACAGUAAACAUAUUAAUAUGACAAACUUAACCCAGCUAAUUGUUAGUACCGAUAUAGAUUUUCUCUUCAAUUUUACCCAAUUUUCUGCUAGGUCUGCAUAGACUACAAGAGAUUAUAGAUCUUUCAAGACAAUUUUUUCGACGUGAUUUUAGGUCUACCACGCCCCCUUUAAACAUAAUCUCAAUCUACAAAUUAAAAACUCAUCCAAUUUGUACAUCAAAUGACAAAGACAAUAAUUUUGAAUAUUAAAUCCUAGUUGUUCAUGUUCGGGGUAGCUUGCGAGCACCUCGACUAUUCCACCGGUUACGUGCUACCUCCCACCAACACAGGUAAGGGUAACUCUACCCAUUAAAGCUUAAGCAGAUUUAAGUCUAUUGUGCAUCUACUUAAUAAAAACUCAACCAAAUGUCAUAUCAAAUAACAAAGACAUAACUCUGAAUAUUGAAUAGAUGUGCAGAUUUAAGUCUAUUGCACAUCUAAUUAAUAAAAAUUCAAUCAAUUGUCAUAUCAAAUAACAAAGACAACAACUUUGAAUAUUAAAUCCUUGGUGUUCAUGUUCGGGGUAGCUUGCGAGCACCUAGACUAUUCCACCGGUUACCUGCCCAUCAACCCUUUGGCAGAUUUAUGUCUAUUUCACAUAUACUUAAUAAAAACUCAACCAAUUUUCAUAUCAAAUGGCAAAGACAAUAACUUUGAAUAUUAAAUCCUCGCUGUUUAUGUUCAGGGCAGCUUGUGAGCACCUCGACUAUUCCACCGGAUACAUGUUAACUCCCACCAGCCAUCAAGGCUUAGGCAUAUUUAAGUCUAUUUCACAUCCACUUAAUAAACAUCAACCAGUUUUUGUAUCAAAGAGCAAAGACAAAAACUUAAUAUAUUAAAGGUUAAUAGUGCACUUACCCAAAGAUAAUUCCUACUAGGCUGACCAAUCAAAGCAUACUGAUAAUUCUCAUAUAUGAAGAACCCAAUAAUCACCAGUAACAGGAAUAAUAGGCAAGAAACGUGGAACAUAAAACUUGACUUUUAAUUUAGCCUCAUCACUUUUAGGAUCAGCUUUAUAAGCAGUGCCUUCAAUAUAACCUAUUUUACCAUCACACUAUGUCUCAUUUAGCACAUGCACUGUACCAUCUGGUUUCAGAGUGUAAGUAGUCCUUGUGUUUACACCAUUUUGGUCUGAAAUCUUGAUGGGAAUGAAGCAAUUUCAUACCAUCUUCCCAUGUACUUUUCUAUAUCAAGUUUUUUCACCACUUCCAUUACUUUUGUUGCCAUUUUUGGGAGAUUUAAGAAAUGGGGGUUUCAAGAUUUCUUUGGGGUUUGGAGAAAUAGGAUUUGGGAUCUUUUUUAUAGGGAGGAGUUUACGUUUGUUCUAGGAUUUGGUUUCUUGCGAGAAGGUCUGUGAUAAUGCACAAAAGGAGAAAGGGUGAAAUUCAUAUUACGGAAGAAAAAAAAAUUCAUAUUAUGGGACAGACGUGGAUACUUGAGGACCUUUCGUUUUUUAAGUAAAUUUUCUUGAAACAUUAUCUAUUUUUUAAGUGCUAUUAGGUUUGGAUUUUGCAAUUAUCAAACCGAGCUAGUUGUAUCUGAUUAUUAAAUUUAAAGAUCAAAUCAAUAAAACUCAAAUUUUUAAAUCUCGCUUUUUUUGGAGUUUUAAGUUUUUUCGGAUUUUUUCCGAUAAAAUCUUCGUAGCACAAAACAUAUAACUUCUACUUAAAGUAAUUCUUUAAUCCUAGUAAGAUACAACUAUAUAAGGUAUUUUCUAAGAAAAUAAUACAAAAUAUGAGAUGUGCCAUGACAUUAUCCUAAAAUAUUCAACAAUAAAAUUAUGCAAUAUAAAUAUUGCUAAUUAAAAAGCCAUAAUAAAAAUAGACAUAAUCUAAAAGUACUAAGUCACGCUAAAAUAGUUGGAUUAAUAAGGGAGUAUUAAUUACAUGAUUAAAUGCUAAAGAAAAAAAAUAAAAAUAUGUUAUACAUUUUUAUCUAAAUUAUUGCAAAACAAAAUAGAUAUUCAAUAUAUUGUCGUUCGUAUAAUGUUGUUUGUUAGCAUAAGUAUUAAUUUGAUUUUGGUUGGGGCUUUUGUUAGCAUUGUUUAAAUUACUAAUAUUAAUGGCUAUAAAACUUAUUGGAACAUUCAAAAGUUCUAAGUCCAACACUGAAAUAAUACCUUAAAAGAUAAAAUUAUGAAAAGGUUUUAAAAGUAUUUAUAAAUUACAUCACAAUAAGUAUAUUUAUAUAUUAAAUAAUUACUAUAUAUGUAAUGCCAGAUUAGUUUGGUUUCAAUUUGAUUUUCUAUAGUUAAAUCAAACCAAAUCAAUUAUGAUCGAAUUUUUUUUCCAACACCAAACCAUAGUCGGAUUUUUUCUUCUCUAGGUAACUUGGAUUAACGAGUUGAUACGGUUUCUCGAUUGCCUUUGUAUACCCCUAAUUACGGUAUAAAAUUAUUUAUAUAAUUAAAUCAAUUGUAAAUAAAAUCCUAUAUAAAAAAAUCUAGUACAUUAAGCUCAUGCUAUAGGUAGAAAGAAUUAGACCACAUUAAGUAUUACGUUUUAAUCUUAUAUUAAUUUAUGCAAGAUGUUUUCACGACAUGAAUGUCAUACCUCUUGGUUACAUGACGCCAAUUGCUACCUUCUAUGCCAACACUACGAGUAAAUUACAUGUACUUCAAAAUUUACUUAUGCACUGUCACGUUAUAAACUCUAUUUUUUUUACUGUUACUUGCAGCAAUAAGAACACUCAAAUAUGGGUUGAAAUUCAAAAAUAGCCAGAUUUAUAAAUGGUAAUUGAAAAAUAGCAUAAUUAAAAUUUAGCCACUUUUUAUGUAAAGAUAAAUCUGAAAGAAAAUAAUAUUCAAAAUCCAAAAAAUAUUUCACAAUCAUAUAGUAAAGUUCGAAUUAACUCCAGUAUAUUAUGGUGGAUUUUCAGUAUAAAUAUAAUAGAACUCCAUCAUAAUAUAUUGAAUUUCCAGCAUAAUAUGCUGAAAGUUCAUACACAUGUGCUCCAAUCUCCAGUAUAUCAUGCUAGAACUUUCUGUGUGCUGGAAUUCCAGCAUAAUAUGUUGAAAGCUCAUACACAUGUGCAUCAAUCUCCAGUAUAUUAUGCUAGAGCUUUCCUUAAUGCAGCAAAAAUGACUAUUUUUCAAUGACUUUGCAAAUGCUGGCUAUUUUUUAAUUACUAAUCCAAAAACUGGCUAGCUGUAAUGAACUCAAAUCGAAUCAAGGAAAUCAAAAUACAGAAAUGGAAGUAGAGUGUUUGUUGGGACAAUUUUCUGAUAUAUUAAUAAAAGAAAACUAACUAUUACAACGGAUUGAGAAAUAACCACUUCUAACUAGACUCCAUAACUGCAGAACCUGAAGAGAAGAAAAGAUCUGUUAGGAAGAUAAGAGAGUCAGAAAAGGGAAGAGAGAAUCGAGGAAAAAGGAAGAGGAAUUACUUCUGUUGAACGAUGCCUCCUUCUCUCUGAUGUAGUUGGUUAUAACAACCAACAGCUGACGUGGCUGAAUCGUGGCCCUUGGGGUUCAUUAAAGCUUCAACUAAUCCUAGCCGUCCAUUUGAAUUUUUGUUAUUCUUUUAUUUUUUGUUAUUGCUCUUCUUCAUUUCUAAUCCAGCUCCAACCUUAAUGUUGAUCAUAACAUACUCGCCCUCUUAAAACAAUCUUUGUCUCAAGGAUUGGAAUAAAAAUUUGGAAACCUUGCCUUAAUGUAGUGAUAAUCCUCCCACGUAGCAUCUUCUGGAGGGAGAUUUGACCACUGUAUCAGAACUCUUACUGCAACAGAAUUGUCCCUCUUAAUAAGCUGCCUUUGCAAAAUUGCCACUGGUUUCACCAAGAACUUACCAUCCUCUCCAGUCAUUAGUGGAUUGUUAUGCACUACUACUCUAUCUCCCACCUUCUUUUUGAGUAGAGAUACAUGAAACACAGGGUGAACCUUAGAUUCGGGUGGAAGAUCCAGUUUGUAAGCCACUUUGCCAAUCCUUGCCAAGAUCUUGUAGGGACUAUAGUAUUUUGAGCUCAACUUCAAAUUUCUCCUAAAUGAUAAGGAUGUCUUCCCAUAAGGUUGCAAUUUCAAAUACACAAAACUUGAAAUUCUGUGUCUGUUCUCCUUUUAUCAGCAUAGUAUUUCAUCCUUUCUUGAGCUUUAGAGAGGUUGUCCUUCAAGAGUUGCUGCAUUUAUUGUUUAUGCAUUACUGUGUCUUCAGCAGCUAGUACCACAGUUUCCAAUAAGGGGCCUAGUGACACUUGUGGGUGUGAGAAUCCGUUGAGUGCUUCAAAAGGGGUGCACUGUAAGCUGGUGUGGAAAUUGGUGUUGUUCCACCAUUCUGCAACAAACAACCAAUGUUUCCCCUAUAUUGGCCUAUUAGCAGUCAUACACCUUAGAUAGUUCUCUAGACACUUGUUGACCCAUUUAGUUUGGCCAUCACUUUGAGGGUGAUAGGCAGAGCUAUAGUGCAACUGAUCCCCUAGGAGUUUGAAUAGGGCUUGCAAAAAGUGGCUUAAGAACACAUUGGCUCUGUCUGUCACUAUAGAUUUUGGGAUCCCAUGUGAGCAAUGUAUCUUCUUCCAAAACACUUCAGCUACAGAUACAUCUAUGCAAGGGUGAACAAGUGCUAUAAAAUGUGCAUACUUCGUUAAUCUAUCCACAACCACAAGGAUAACUCUUGGAGUUGGGCAGCCCUUCUAUAAAAUCCAUGCUAAUGUGGCUCCAGGUCUAGUUAGGAAUUGGCAGGGGUUGCAGUAACCCAGGGUAGGCCAUGUUGUCAUCUUUGCUUUUGAGGCCUACAUCACAGCUAGCCACAUGAUCAAUAACCAUUUGUUUCACCCCUAGCCAAUAAAAUAUUUGUGAUAGUCUUAUUAGAGUUUCCAACUGACCUGAGUGUCCACCUAUAGGAGAGUCAUGAAAGGUUAAUAUCAACUGAGUUCCGAGCCCACUAUUAGUACUAAUGUAAAUUUUCCCCUUUUUCCUAAGUAUGAUGGCAGUGUUGAGCCAUAUGUUGGGUCCUUGUUGAGUCACAUCCAUUUGGCUAAUGAUUUCUAUAGCUUUAGGGUUCCCUUCAUAGUUGUGCGUGAUUUCCUGCACCCAUGCAGAAACUAAGACACGGAAUUGGUUCCUUGGAACUUCAGACCCUUCCUACUGUCUAGAAAGGGCAUCAAUAACCCUACUUUUCAGCUCCCUUCUUGUACUGCACCUCAUAGUCCAACCCAAGCAAUUUGUUAGUCCCUUUUUUUGCUGUAUAGCAGUAGUCACCCUUUGUUCUAAGAGGUAUUUAAGGAUGUGAUGGUCAGUUCUCACCACAAAAUGUUUGUAUUGUAAGUAAUGUCUCCACUUUUUCACUGCAUUUAGCAGAGCCAUAUUAGGGAUAAGACCUUGCUAAAAUAAGUUAUUGACCUACCUCCAUGCAUCAGUACAACCCCAAUGCCCAUUUGGCUAGCAUCAGUCUCCAUUAUGAAUUCCUUGUUGUAGUCAGGUAGUGCCAACACAGGUGUAGAAGUCAUAGCUUUCUUCAAUCUCUCAAAUGCUAAACCUGCCUCCUCAUUCUAUUUAAAGGCUUCCUUUCUUAAUAAGUCAGUCAAGGGUCUGCAAAUGGUGUCAUAAUUGGCAACAUACUUCCUGUAAUACCCAGUCAAUCCCAAGAACCCUCUCAAAGUUUUCACAGAGUUGGGCUUAGGCCAUUCGACCAUGGCCUUGAUUUUGGAAGGAUCAGUUGAUACUCAUUCUAUAGUUAUAAUAUGCCCCAAAUAUUCAACUUUGGACUGACCAAAGGAACACUUGGAUCUUUUAGAAAAUAAGGAAUGUUUCCUUAAGGUGUCAAAUACUGCACCCAAAUGAGCUAUAUGUUCCCUCUCAGAUAGGUUGUAUAUUAAUAUGUCAUCAAAGAAUACUAACACAAAUUUUCAAAGGAAAGGUUGAAAAACAUUGUUCGUCAAAGCCUAAAAAUUGGAUGGGGUAUUGGUUAACCCAAAUGGCAUCGCCUUGAACUCAUAGUGGCCCAUGUGAGUUCUGAAAGCAGUCUUGUACACAUCUUCCACCUUCAUUCUAAUCUGGUGAUAACCAUCCCUUAAGUCCACUUUGGAAAACAUUACAGACCCACUCAGGUCAUCUAAUAGAUCAUCCACAAUAGGUAUGGGAUAUUUAUCCUUUAUUGUAAUGUCAUUAAGCCCUCUAUAGUCUACACAGAAUCUCCAAGAACCAUCUUUAUUCUUGACAAGUAAGGCUGGUGAAGAGAAAGGUGAUUAACUAUUUUGUAUGAUGCCAUUAGUAAACAUAUCUUUAACCUGCCUUUCUAAUUCUUCCUUCUGGUAAUAAUUGUAUCUAUAGGGCCUCAAAAUGACUGGCAUAACUCCAGGUUUUAAAGGUAUGGUGUGAUCUAAUGUUCUGAUAGAAGGCAAGGUCUUUGGGUCAAGAAAUAUAUCUGAAUAAUGUUGCAGUACCCCAUCAAUGGCCUCCCCAAUUGGUUCUUGCUCUUCUGCCUUAACAUCACUCAUCAUGAAGAAGUGAGCUAUUAGAACCUGACCAUUCCUUAACAUUUUGCUCAUGGUUCCGCUAGUGAUCAUAGUCAGUUUCUCUUCCUUAAUAAUGCCCUGCAAUACCAUCUUGUUACCCUUCUUACCAAUGGUAACACACAUCUUUUCAUGAUCAAAUUUAGUUGGGUUAUGCUUCUUCAUCCAAUCAUUCACCAUAACCAUGUCACAACCUCCAAGUGGAAUAAUUAGUAGGUUCUCUUGGAAUGGUCUACCUUGCAUUUUCCAUUGGUGGUUCAUGCAAAUUGUAGUGCACAUAACAUAGUUUCCAUCAGCAAUUGUCACUCUCACAGGUGGCAAGGCUGCGUUUGGUACCUUGAUUCCUUGACUAUGGUGGCAUCGACGAAAGUGUGAGUACUCCCAGAAUCAAUCAAUAAUGUGAGUUUCCUAUUGCCUGUAGUCCCACGCACUAGUAUGGUAUUAACCUAUUUGUUAUCACAUGAUAGGGCAUUCAAACAUACUGCCUUAAUAACUUCUUGUUCCAGUUCUCCUUUAAUUAUCAGCCCUGCAGAGUUCAGUUCUUCUUCUAUCUCACCAGUUUCAGUAAGAACUUCUAUUGUCCUUAUCAUACUACAACUGCUUCUUUUCGCAUUGGUGGACUUGGGCAUACUUCUCACGACAUCUGUAACACAAGCGGUUGCUCUUCCUAUACUCAUAAAUCUCAGGCCUAAAUGAAUUUGGCUUAACUGCAGUUGCAACUAGUGCCUUGGCAUUACUAAAGUUGCCAGUGAUCUGAGAGGAUUUGGUAACUACUUUUGUACGCUUGACAGCAACCUCUAUGGCCUUCUCCUGUAACCUAGCUUGUUCCACUGCAAAUUGUAAAAUUGUAGGUUUGAAUAGCUUCACCCAAAAUCUAAUCUCUUCCUUCAGAGCCCCAAUGGAACUGGAUAUAAAGUGUGACUCAUCUAAGUUAGGAUUCCUGAUCAACAUCUGGGCCUUCAAAUCCUCAAACUUACCCAAUAAUUCAUCCACAGUCCCAGUCUAACUUAGCUUGUUGAAUUCCUCUACUAUGUCUCCCAUUAAUUCCUCCCCAAAUCCGACCAGUAAUUCUUCUUUGAAUUCAGCCCAGCUUACUUCACCUUUACUUAGAACUAAGGAGUCGUACCAUGUAUCUGCCAACCCAUUCAAAUAAGGAGCAAAUGAUUCCACCUUCAAGUUAUCUUAGGUUCUAUAUAAGUUGAAGUACCUUUCACACUUCCUAAUCCACCCUUUUGGCUCAUAACCUUUAAAGUAAGGUAGCUCCCAUUUAGGUGCAGGAGCUUGUGCUGCUGGAGGUCGAUACUGUCUUAUUUCCUGACCUGGCAUAGGUAGUAAUCCAUCACCUUGAGGCUUCUCCCCUUGUGCUCUUUGUGGAACUCUCUCCAAGUUAAUUAGUCCUUCAAGUAUCAGUUCUAGUGUACCCUGUAUACCAUCUUGAGUAUUGCGGAGUUCCUCCUGAGUGGUCAUAACCUCAUUUAGAACCUCCUCGUGUCUGACUAGUUUAUCAUCCAUAACCUUCAGUCUAGUUCCUUCAACCGUCACCACCUCAUUGUCACAAAUUGAGGCUCUGAUACCGAUUGUAAUGAACUCAAAUAGAAUUAAGAAAAUCAAAAUACAAAAAUGAAAAUAGAUUAUUUUUUGGGGACAAUUUUCUGAUAUAUUGAUAAAAGAAAACUAACUAUUACAACGGAAUGAGAAAUGACUAUUUCUAACUAGACUCUAUAGCUGCAGAACCUGAAGAGAAGAAGAGAUUGUUAGGAAGAAGAAGAAGAGAGUGAGGAAAGAGAAGAGAGAAUCGAGGAAAAAAGAAGAAUUACUUUUGUUGAAUGAUGCCUCCUUCUCUCUGAUGCAGUUGGUUAUAACAACAAACAGUCGGCGUGGCAGAAUCGUGGCCCUUGGGGUUCAUUAAAGCUUCAACCAAUCUUAGCCAUCCAUUUGAAUUUCUGUUAUUCCUCCUUAUAUUCUGUUAUUGCUCUUUUUCACUUGGAAUGCAGCUGCAACCUUAAUGUUAGAUCAUAACACUAACCCAUGCUAUUUUCCCUCAAAUAUGAGCUCGUUCAGUGAUCACUUCAGUCUAAAUUAUGAGCGCUUGACUAUUGAUCCAUCUCCUAAGGAACAAAUGCCUUCUAGCAUAUUGAAUUUCUCAAUUCUAGUACUGUUCUGUUCCACUUUAUAGGGAGUGAAGUGAAGUUGUUUCCAAAAUAAAUGCUCCUUUAUUAGGAAUGUUGUGAAGUAGUUUACUGUGGUUUUUAGUUGAUUUUGCUUAUAAUACUGGUCAAACCUCUAGAUGAUCCUCGAAUGAUGAACGAGCAAGAAGAAAUUCAAAAAUAGCCAAAUUUAAAAUUGAUCAUUCAAAUAUAGCCACAAUUUCAAAAGUAACCAAAUUUUAACCAAUUUUCAUGUAAAAAUAAACCUGAACAAAAAUACUAUUCAAAAUCCGAAAAAUACUCCAAUAUAAUAUACUGAAAUACCAAAACUCCGAUAUACGUAUGAUGGACUUCCUGCAUAAUGUGCUUGAGUUCCAGCAUCAUAUACCGGUCCAGAAAUUCAUACACUGGUGCUCAAAUCUACCGUAUAUUAUGCUGGAACUUUUCUUGUUGAAGCCAAAUAGUAAUUAUUUCUAAAUGACUUUGCAAACACUGGUUAUUUUUGAAUGAUCAAUUCGAAAACUGACUAUCCCAUGCUAUUUUUAUGUAUAAGAAGAGAGACUCGAAUCAUGAAAUGAAUAAACUAUGCUGCUUUUGUAAAACAAAACUCAGCAAAUUAUUUUACCAAAUUAAUUUUAGAAUUUUUUUUUAAAAAGUUAGUCAUGAUAACAUCAGCAAAGAUGUUCCUAGACUCGAGCACCAUACAAAGGUCUCAAAUUAACAUCCAGCUCUAAAAUCUUUCAGAUUAAGUCUAAUUCAAAUAUUUCUAAUCUACAACUAUUUCCAGAAAGACCAACAAAAAGAAUGCAAAUACACCAAGUAAAAGAUGAGGCUCAGAUUUUUGCAUAUUCAAUCACAGGAAAGAGCAGAGUUUACACUGCCAUGCCGCAAAUACUGGUUGCCCUAUGAGAAAGACACUCCAGCAGGACAAAAGAUCAUUCACAAACGGAGUUUUGAUGUACAAUACAUUCCAUAUUUCGACAUAUGAUUGAUCUCAUGAUCAUCACCCAGUGGAUGCUGCAGCAAUUGCAAAAUAUUCAUUACAAAAUUUGUCAACAGACAUAUCAUCCAUAUUAAUCAACACUAUUGGGUGAGAAAAGGAAAGAUCAUGCUGCAAUUGACAGCAAAUAACAUUCAAGAACAAAGCAAUAGCUCUGAACUUCAGUAGCGAAAGAAUCAGAGAAUUGCACUUUUGAGGCCUCGUGAAAUAGUCAAGCUGAGGGCCGUCUGAGGCAAUGCGACAUAUGACAUGCGCUCCCAUAAGGAUGUCCAACAUAAGCUGGUUUUUCCUUGUAUUUGCGGAUGCCUAUAAACUGCCAUUCUAGCUAUAAUUGAAUUACUAGGCAUUAAAUAGUACUGAUUAACGAUAUUGUAGCUGCACAAAUUUACUCAGUGACAUGCUUCGGGAUAGCAGUUCAGUUACAGAAGACGUAAGCCAAAAUUUCAGCACAACAUUGACUUAUUAAUCAUAAAGUAGUACUACAAUAUUAUUCAGUUUGAAGAUAUUCCAAGAUGCAGUUCAAAGUUUUGGCCAAAUUGACCUUAAAUAAAAACACAAGCAAAUUGGAGAUGGUAAAAUUUAUUACCUUUUCAUGCGGGCAGAUCUAAUUACCAUCAACCCAAUCAAGACCGAAUUUUAAGUCCGAAGGAGAAAACUCAAGCUCCUCAUCCAGAUCGAUGAAAGCCACUAGAACUGGCAAUAAAACAAAUGCUUGUACUCAACGCAGAAACCCCUUUCCCUUUAGGAUUUAAAGUUGGAAGCCGGAGCUGUUGAUUUCCAUGGCUAAAUCUAUUUCCAGAAAGACUAGUAAAAAAAUUGUAAAUAAACUACGUUAAGAAUGAGGCUCAGAUUUUCGCCUAUUUAAUCAAAAAAAGAAAAGGAAAAAAGAACAGAGCUAACACUGCCAUGGCUGCACAAUCUACGGUUGCCUUAUAAGAAAGACCUUCCGAUUGGGCUCACCAAGUCAGGCCAAGAAUCAACUCUAAUCUUCUUCACUUUUCAUUUUCAAUUGUAUAUAAUCUUCACUGCCUCUGCAACUUCAAGUAUUCAAGGUUGAAACAAAGGCAUGAAAGUUUGAAUAUAACGUAGAUAACUGCAGCAACAACUAGCUUCAAUAUCAAACUGGUUAAAGAUGGUAUGAAUCCUCAAUAUUCACUUCCUUUCUCUUUCGACUUGUUUCAUAUCUUUUGAAAUGAGGAUCUUCCUGAUAUUAUGAAAAGAACACGAACGUACAAAGAAUGAAAGAAAAAAGCUCAGUUUGCAUAAAGAUCUAUCGGAAAAAAGGGCUAAUCCGCCAUGGCUGAAAAAGGCAGAUGCCUUUCUGGGAGAGCACAUAAAGAACCAACCUCAGAAAUUCCCAUGCCUUUGCUCAGCCAAUCUGGUCUUGAAGCUUCCUGGAGAAUAUCAUCACAGCCUCAUUCACAAAGUUUAGAGUUUAGGAUUCUGAGUAUUCCCCAACAAGUUUAGCGGGGCAAAAUAUGUAUUUUCUCUUGAAGGGCUGUUAAACUUUCUCUUUAUAACGAAACUACAGGAAAACUCAUUAGCUAAAUUGAACUUCAGAGAAAGAGAGUACCCACCCUUAAAAAAUCUCAACCUUCCUCCAAGUUCCAUAAAAAUCCUCGUUCUUAACACAAAGAUAUUUGGGAGGCUCAGAUUGACCUUUUCUCAGAGAUAAGUUAAACCCCACCGUGGCUGCCAGCUUAAAAAGCCAUUGCAAGACACAGAAACAAAAAAAUAGCUUCAAUAUCCACAAGACCACCAAAGAGAUGCCCACCAAAGAUAUAGCAAACCUCAGCUCAACCAUCUGAUGAGUAAAGAAUGAAAAUCUUCACUGCCUAAGUGAACUUAUUUUGCUAAAGAGUAGUUUGAAAUUGGGAAAUUUUGAGUGGAUCAUUGGCCGCUAAGAAUGACAGAGGCGCAACCACCCACAAAACUCCCCGCAACUCUCUCAAUCCAGCAGCCUCAAUCAUAAACUAAUGAAACUUUUGCCAUUUUUGUUUCAUCUUUUGCUUCAUCUAUUUGCUGAAACAGUUUCCUCCAUGUCAAAUACAGCCAAAGUAAAAUAUAAGGGACAAUUGAGGCUCAGAUCUUAUUCAUGUCAUGCAAAGAAAGUCCAGCCACACCAUGGCUGCAAUACCCCCAGUUGCAUGUAAGAAAAUACAUGCAUCUGUGACAUUGCCCAGCCAAGCUACAUGCCUGUUACUCUCAGUGCCCAAUUACUAGCUCAGAAGGAUAGAUUGAAAGAUCAUCACUGCCUCGAUAAGGGACCAUUUUGGAUGGAUAUAUAUAUAUUACCCUCCCCAAACCCCACUUUGUGGGACUAUACUGGGUAGUUGUUGUUGUUGUAUAUAUAUAUAUAUAUAUAUAUAUAUAUAUAUAUAUAAGCAUUAAAAAAACUUGGCCAAACACCAAUUAUUUCUCAAAANNNNNNNNNNNNNNNNNNNNNNNNNNNNNNNNNNNNNNNNNNNNNNNNNNNUGUUGUUGUUGUAUAUAUAUAUAUAUAUAUAUAUAUAUAUAUAUAUUAUAUACAGACAAUAUGCAUGAGCAUCAUGUACAUAAGAGGCUCAGAUUUCAGCUGAAUCAGGUAGUGGAUUUAAUCAGAAACCGCCACUGGUGCAACCUUCCCACAUUACCCCGCCAAGAUAUGGCUGUCAUCAUCUCAACGCCUAACCCAAAUUGCUCAAAAAAGAAAAAGGCAUUACAAUCACAGCAUAAAUUCUCCCUGUCCUUGCAUUGAUCUCUUGCUGUUUGGUUCAUAAAACAGCCCAAUGGCACCAAGAAUAGGAGAAAAGAUCUGAUAAACUUAACAGGUGCUUCAGUGUCUUCUUUUAGUCUAAGGGUUUUAGACUAAAACUGUUCACCUUUUCCAAACAUAGAGGACCAUUUAUGUUGCCGUAUAUAUCAAGGACCAAAAUAGUCAGAUCCCGAUACAUUAAGGACCACUCAGAUUUUUUCUCUCAAUAUAACAAGGCUCAGGUUUAAAUUUAUCAGGCAUUGAGUUAAUCAGAAACAGCCAUUGCUGCAGCCUGCAACCUCUCCAGGCUACCCCGCCAAGAUAUGGCUCUUACCAUCUCAAUGCCCAAACCAAAUUGCUCGAAGCAACAUUAUAAUCACAGCCUUAAACUCUCCCUGUUCUUAAAUUGAUUUCUUGUUGUUUGGUUGAUAAGAACAAAGGAAACAGAAGAAAAUGCAGCAGCAGCAGCAACAACAACAAGAACAUGCCUCAUUCUUUGAGACGAUAUUAAGAAGAAAAUGACAUGGGUUUCCACCAAAAGAGGACCUAAAUUUGCAUCCAGAAUGUCCUGAAGGACUAGUUGGAAAUUGAGGCUCAGAUCAGCAAAAAGAAUGGGGCAAACAGAAGACGACAAUGUCAUGGCUGCAAAAGAGCUGGUUGCCCGUGAAAGAAAAGACUUCAAACCAUCCAGGUUUGCCAUGCUAAGAUCCAUGUUGAUCGGACUCUCCGAAAAUGUCACCGGGUGCGUGUCGGAUCUUCCAAAAGUAGUGUAUUUUUGGAGGAUCCGACAUGGGUGCGGCAACAUUUUGGAGAGUCCGCACAACAUAGGCCAAGAUACAAGUUGUAUUAUCAAAUAUGCGCCGAAAAUCGGACCAGAGAAUCAAUAUCAUCACUGCCUCUUUCCAAAAACGGGAACUUUUUAAUAAGAGCAUGUUUGGAGAAUUUCAAAAAUUUCUUAAAACAAGUGGAAAUUUCAGAUCUGUGGAUGUUUUGGACCAAAAACAUUUGGUCUAAGCUAGCUCAGAAAUAUCAGAACAUUGAAUAGUACUACUGUUAUCAGCAUCACAUUUGCAGAGGGUUGUUGGUUUGGUUGAUGGAGAAAUCAUAGGCCAAACCAGGGGGGCACCACCCUCCAAGGAAUUCCCUUCUCUCCCUGUUGGCCUCAUUCUUCAUACUGGGCUGAGCCUCAUUAAUCUGUAGACUGUAAGAUGCUAUCACUUUUAUAAGACUUCGUCUUUCUUCAAAUAGGAGUCCUAAAACCGUUAUAUGUGCACUUCGCCGACGUACAUACUCUAAAAGGACUGUUGGUUAGAGAAAAGGAGAAAUCAUUGGCAUAUCGGAGAUGGUCAACCACCCUUAUACAAAUCCUCAAAAAAAGACGGUUGGUUAGAGAAAAGGAGAAAUCAUUGGCAUAUCGGAGAUGGUCAACCACCCUUAGACAAAUCCUCAUUUUUCUCUGUUGCCUCAUUUUUUAUGAGCUAAAAUGAAAUGGUUUCCAAUUUGGUUCAAAUCCUGCAAAUUCCACAAUGACUCGUCGGCAGUUCAGGCUCAGAUAUGUGUAAAAUGGGGGCAAAGAGAAGAUGACAACGCCAUGGCUGCAAAACCAGUUGCCUGAUCCGGGUUUGCCCGCCAAGAUACAAGUCUGUUUUUUUCCAUGCCCCAAAUUUCAGCCCAGAUUAGCAAAUAUCAAAACUGCCUCUCUGGAAAGAUAGAAACUUUUCCAUAGCAAUUUGGAUAGUUUCAAGGCACAUAAAUUGGAAUAGAGGGAGUACUACUACUGCUGCUAUCAGCGUUGCAUCACAGAAACUUUUCCAUAGCAAUUUGGACAGUUUGAAGGCACAUAAAUUGGAACAGAGGGAGUACUACUACUGCUGCUAUCAAUGUUGCAUCAAUGGCACAGAGAUUUGCCUUCUUUUGUGGGAAAAUUUCACAAAUAUACCAAUAACAACAACAACAAACCCAGUGGAAUCCCACAAGCGGAGUUUGGGGAGGGUAGUGUGUACACACACUUUACCUACCAUGUGGCGGUAGAGAGGCUGUUUUCGAUAGACCCUCGACUCAAAGCAACAGCAAUAAAAACAACAAGGUUAUUGAAGCUCAGAUACUGCAUUUCAGAAAUUUGAGGCUCAGAUACUGCAUUUUGCUGGGACAAAGUGAACGCAACUACGCCAUGGCUGCAAAAUACCAGUUGCAUGCACAACAAGGGAAUUGCCAGGCCAAGAUACGGAUUGUCCACCAUGUCCAAUUUGUUUAGCCCAGAAAGGGAAAGAAUAUUAUCAUCACUGCCUCUUUUGUAAAAUUAUUCCAAAGGAGGAAAAAGAAACACACAUACACAGAGGUCCAUGGCCUAAGCUGUACACUGAAAAAGCAUAUGAUGUUACUCUGCAUUUCAUGAACACGGGCUGUUGGUUUAGUAGCUACAGAAAAUCAUUGGCAUAACAGAGAAGGGCAACCACAGAAAAUCCCUUCACUCUGUUAGUCUCAUUUCUCUUUCCGGGCCAACUUUUUUUAGGAAAAUUCUCGACUCUCACCUGAUUCUGAACUUUCUUCUUCUCAGAGUUGUACACUAGUAACCAAAUACUGAUGUUUUCCAUCAUACCAAAGACGCCCUUUUAAAAUAACAAUACAAUACACGGGGUAACAACCAUCCAAACAAGCUAUAAGAGUAAAAUGGAGGCUCAGAUCUGUUGAUAAGACAAGAGAAUGAAGACAUCGCCAUGACUGCAAACACCGGUUGCAUGACACAAAGAUCACUUGUCAUCCGGUUUGCCCUACCAAGAUACGGGUCCCCUUUACUUCUCUUGACCAAUUGAUUAGCUCAUGAAAAAAGAGAAGACAGUAUCAUCACAGCCUCAAAAUUCUCUCUUUUGCUUAAAAAGCUAUGUAAUUUCACAAAUAUACCAACAGGAAAAAGAAAAAAAAGGAAGAGGGUUGAUGGUUUGUUUGGUGGGGAAAUCAUAGGCCAGGCAGAGAGGGCAACCACCCUCGAAGAGAUCCAUUUUCUCUCUGUUGGACUCAUUCUUCCUUCUGGGCCAAUUCUCACUGCUGUGCAAAAGACUCCCAGAAAGAAGCAAUCAUCAUAGCCCACUUCAGGUGAUCUGUGAGGGAGAUUUGCACAUAUAUGAUCAUUAUUAAACACCUGCUCUCAAAAGGGACAUCAGGUGAAAUUUUCUGGAUCUAUGAAGAUCAGCAUCAGUCGUGGAUUCCAAAUACAAAUCCAUUGUAGAGAGUUUUGGAGAAGUUAAUUUCUUGUAUUGCUCACCAAGGUAUAUAUAGAGUACAGGGAAAUCAAAACCUAAAAAGUGGAUAUUUGAGUAAAUCAGCAGAAGCAGAGAAAAGAAGAGCAAAGCCCUUUUUAGAGAAGAACAUACUCAAGGGGUGUCAUUGGAAUGGUUUAUCAUAUUCCUUUUCUUGUUCUUUUUUUCUCAAAGGGCUGUUGGUUUUAUGAAUGGAGAAAUCACGGGACAUAGCAGAGAGGGGUAAGCACCUUUGUGCUGAUUUGCCUUAAGAACAAGAGCAGAGUAGUCGCAGAUAGAUAAAGAGACAGAAGAGACAUACAAUACAUGUAUAUAUACACACACACACAUCAUAGAUAUGCAAAAAGGGCUGUUGAUUAUAGCCACAAAAAAAAUCAUAGGCAUGCUGGAGACGGUCAACCACCCUGAAAAAUCCAAUUUUUUCUCCGAUUGCCUCAUUUAUUAGCUAAAAUUUUGACGGAGAACUGUAUCUGAAAUGGAUGUUCAUGAAAAACUGAAGAACCCAAUUUGGUUUCAGUUCCAGAGAACGGCCGUCCAAUUCAAGAUCAUCAAAUGGUUGCCCUAAACGUUUUAGGGCCUAGAAUUUGCUUUUCUAUGAACAAGCAAAGAGACAGAAACACACAUCAUGGCUGCAGACACCGGUGUGCAAAUGAUGCCAUACCAGGUCGCCCUGCCAAGAUACCAGUCAGAUCUUCUCAGCACAGUAAGGUGGGGGAAGUGCACAGAUAGCCAUUUUCAGGAUCCCUAUUUAAAGACUGGAAAUUGAGGCUCAGAUAUGUGGAAAAUGGGGGAAAGAGAAGACGACAACGCCAUGGCUGCAAAAUGAACCGGUAGCAUGAUCUGAGUUUGCCCCGCCAAGAUUCGGGUUUUCUCCAUUUCCCGAAUAAUAACCAGCUUAGCAAUCUCAUCACUGCUUCUUCAGAAAGAUGAAAACUUUGGCAUAGCAAUUUGUGGACAGUUUCAGGACACAUAAAUGAACGGAGAGAAUACUAUUGCUAUCAGCAUCACAUCAAUGGCAACUGAUAUUUUCUUCUCUUUUGGUCAACUAAACCGAACCAUGAACACCCCUAAGUAUACCAAUUGAAAAAAAAAAGAGAGAAAAAAGAAGAGGGUUGUUGGUUUGGUUUAUGCAGAAAUCAUAGGCCAAACAGAGAGGGCAACCACCCUCCAAGAAAUCCUUUUCUCUCUGUUGGCCUCAUUCUUCUUUCUGGACCAACUCUCAUCUCAUUUUGCUCAUUAGAGAUGAUUUGGAUGAAAGAUUUUGAGGCUCAGAUCUGUGACUUAACUCGGGCACUGAGAUAUUUGACACUGCCAUGGCUGCAAACCUUAUAUGGAUUGCCCCACCAAGAUACGGGCCUGAAACAACAAUGCCUGAUGCCAUUUGCUUAGCAAAAUUAUCAUCACAGCCCCAUUAUUUUCCCUUUUCCAUUUCAAGUUGUAUGCUUUUGCGGUUGUUUUCCAUGGAAACACAGCUGCAGCCUCUGAGGAACAGACUGUAACAGUAACAGAAAACAGAGGGAAAAUGAUCAAAAUGAUCCAAAUGAUCCUUAAUAUAUGGGGGUUGGAUACACAAACACAUGCAUAAGCAAAAAGAGUUCUUGGCUAGAGCUAAAAGAAAAUAGAAAUCACAGGCACGCCAGAGAUGGUCAACCACCCUGAAAAAUCCCCAUUUUUCUCCAACCGCCUCGUUCGUUGAGCUAAAAAAAAUUGAUAGAGAACUGCAUUUGACAAGAGGGGUUGCUCUGAUGGUAAGCAACCCCACUUCCAACUGAGAGGUUGUGAGUUCGNNNNNNNNNNNNNNNNNNNNNNNNNNNNNNNNNNNNNNNNNNNNNNNNNNNNNNNNNNNNNNNNNNNNNNNNNNNNNNNNNNNNNNNNNNNNNNNNNNNNNNNNNNNNNNNNNNNNNNNNNNNNNNNNNNNNNNNNNNNNNNNNNNNNAAGUUCUUGGAGGGAAGGAUGCCGGGGGUCUAUUUGGAAACAGCCUCUCUACCCAAGGGUAGGGGUAAGAUCUGCGUACACACUACCCUCCCCAGACGCCACUAAGUGUGAUUAUACUGGGUUGUUGUUGUUGUUGUUGUAACUGCAUCUGAAAUGGGGUGCGUUAGAGAAAAACUGAAGAACCCGAGUGGGUUUCCAGUUCCCGAAAACGACCAUCCAUUUAAGACCAUCAAAGGUUGCCAUAGCUUUUGGGACAGAUAUUUUUUUGUAUAUGAAUAUGCCUAGAGAAAGCGACUCAUGCCAUGACUGCGGACACCAGUUUGCAAAUGAUGCCAUACUGGGUUGCCCCGCCAAGAUACAGGUCGGAUUUUAUUUAAUGCUGUGAGUAGAUAGCUCAGAAAGAAGCAAUCAUCACAGCAUAUAUCAGUAUCCAAUUUGUGCAAAUCAGUUGUGGCCUUUUAAAUACAAGGCCAUAAGAGUGGCUAUCUGUGUAAAUCAGUAGUGAUCGCAGCAGAAGCGGAGUAAGUGGCUAUUUCCUUGUUUCCUUUUUUAUUUCAAGGGUUGUUGGUUUCAUGAAUGGAGAAAUCAUGGUCAUAGCAGAGAGGGACAACCACCCUUCACAGAAAAUCCCAUUUCUCUCUGAUAUCUCAUUCUUCCUUUCUGGGCUAAACUUAUAACAAGUGUUUCGCCCAACCCUCAAUGUUUUAACUUUUCCGAUACCUCAUUCUUAUGAUCUUGAGCUUGAGUUAAAAUUUAAAAGCAGACAUUAAUGGAUCUCAACGACAACCUUAAUUUAUACCACAAUCCAUAGGUCCAUCACUUUUCCUUAUCAAAAAAAUGACAACCUUAAUUGAACAGGGUCUGGUCUAUGGGCUCGUACCACUGUAUCCUUGACUUCUAAUGGAUUCAAAGAACAAGAGUACCCAUUUCGAUUCCCAGAAUUUGAGGCUCAGAACUGCAUUUAUAUCAGGCAAAAAUAAGUCAACCACGCCAUGGCUGCAAAAUUACUGGUUGCAUGCAAAAGAGAGAACCUCAAAGGCUGACAAUCCAGUGAUUUGCCAGGCCAAGAUAUGAGUCAAGUUGUCCAAGUCCCUGAUUCAGCUAGCCCAAAAAGUGAAACAUCAUCAUCACUGCCUCUUCUGUACAAUUGCUCAAGAGGAGGAAAAACAAACACACGUGCUAUGCGCAACACUGACUGACCAUGUCGCUCCUUUUAGACUCAUCUCAUACGAAUAUUACAAAACAUGGUCAUAAAAAGAACGAAAGGAAAGAACCACCCAUUGUAGAACUAAACUCCACACAGAAAAGAGGCUCAGAUUUGCCUAAAAAUCUAUCAGAACAAAGAGGUAAUCCACCAUGGCUGCCAAAAGCUGACGCCUAUGUGAAAAGCACAUAAGAAACUACCUCACAAAGUCCCUGCCUUUGCCUAGCCAAGAAAAGAAUCAGCUAAAAAAUCUGAUUUUCAAGCUUCCGGGAGAACAUCAUCGGAGCCUCAUUCACAAAGUUCAGGGUUAAGGAUUCAGGUUUUCCUGGACAAGUUUAGGAAGCAGAAUAUGUAUUUUCCCUUAUUGACAUAACCAUGGCUAUCGUCGUCGUCACGGUCAUCAACAACAUAAUUGGUAUUAGCUUAUGAAAGGGUUGUUAAUCUUUAUCUUUGUAACAAAAGUACCGGAAAAUUCAUCCGCUAUACUGAACUUCAGAGAAAGAGACUAACCACCCUCAGAAAAUCUCAAUCUUUCUCGACUUCCACCACAAAAGGCCUCAUUCUUAUGCAGAUACUUGAGAAGCGUGGUGGCCCCACAACCCACAGGUCACAUGAUCGAAACCUCGCUUUGAUAUUCAGUAGCAAGUUUUGCUUGCCUCUCUACCUUUAGAAGAUGGGGGUAAGGUCUACAUACACACUAACCCCCCAAACCCCACACUUGUGGGAUUUCACUUGGUUUGUUGUUGUACUUGGGAGGCUCAGACUUUCCUCUUCUCAAGCACAAGCUAAACUCCGCCAUGGCUGCAAGCUUAAUGAGAAGCCUUUGUGAGACACGGAAACAAAAAUAGCUCACAUAUCUCACAAGACCAACCAAAAGCUGCCACGCCAAGAUAUAGCAAAGCUCAACCAACUGAUGAAUAAGGAGUGAAAAUCUUCACUGCCUAGGUGAACUUAAUUUGCUAAAUAUUAGUUUGAAAUUGGGGAACAUUUGACUGAUCACUGGCUGAUAAGAAUAACAGAGAGGGGCAACCACUCAAAUAACUCACCAAAACUCUCUAAAUCCAGCAGCCUCAGACUUAAACUAAUGAGAUUUUUGCCAUUUCGGUAUCGCCUUCCGCUUCAAAUUCCCAAAAUUAUUCAUGUGAAAGGUCUUAUUUGUAGAAAUGACACCAUGGUAGCCACUUCGAGGGCUGCUUCACUGAAUCAAUUUCCUCCAUAUCAAAUACACCCCAAGUAACAUAUAAGUGACAACUGAGGCUCAGAUCUGUAUUUACGCCCAGACAAAGAAAGUCCUGACAUGCCAUGGCUGCAAAUAUCCCCCAGUUGCAUGCAAUUUUUUUACAAAUCACAAGUAUCAGGGUCAUCGCCCUGCCAAGAUGCGGGUCGGGUCUCUCAAUGCUCAAUUAAUAGCUCAGGAUCAUCACUGCCUAGAUAAGGGACCAUUUUGGACAUUUUCUCAUGAUAUGUUUGCAUGUGUAUCUAUGUAUGUAGACAAGAGGGGUUGCUCUGAUGGUAGGCAACCCCCACUUCCAACCGAGAGGUUGUGAGUUNNNNNNNNNNNNNNNNNNNNNNNNNNNNNNNNNNNNNNNNNNNNNNNNNNNNNNNNNNNNNNNNNNNNNNNNNNNNNNNNNNNNNNNNNNNNNNNNNNNNNNNNNNNNNNNNNNNNNNNNNNNNNNNNNNNNNNNNNNNNNNNNNNNNNNNNNNNNNNNNNNNNNNNNNNNNNNNNNNNNNNNNNNNNNNNNNNNNNNNNNNNNNNNNNNNNNNNNNNNNNNNNNNNNNNNNNNNNNNNNNNNNNNNNNNNNNNNNNNNNNNNNNNNNNNNNNNNNNNNNNNNNNNNNNNNNNNNNNNNNNNNNNNNNNNNNNNNNNNNNNNNNNNNNNNNNNNNNNNNNNNNNNNNNNNNNNNNNNNNNNNNNNNNNNNNNNNNNNNNNNNNNNNNNNNNNNNNNNNNNNNNNNNNNNNNNNNNNNNNNNNNNNNNNNNNNNNNNNNNNNNNNNNNNNNNNNNNNNNNNNNNNNNNNNNNNNNNNNNNNNNNNNNNNNNNGCCUCUCUACCCAAGGGUAGGGGUAAGGUCUGCGUACACACUACCCUCCUCAGACCCCACUAAGUGGGAUUAUACUGGGUUGUUGUUGUUGUAUCUAUGUAUGUAAUAUAGAGACAAUAUAAUGUGCAUCAUGUACUUAACGAGGCUCAGACUUCAAUUUACUCGGGCAUAAGGUUUAUCAAAAAUAGCCAUUGCUGCUACCUCUCCGGGUUACCCUGCCAAGAUACAGCUCUUAUCAUUUCAACGCGUAAAUUAAAUUGCUAAAAAAAAAAAGAAUUAUCAUCAUAGCCACAAAUUUUCCUCUUCUUACGUUGAUUUCUUGCUAUUUGGUUAUUAAACACAGCAAUCAACAAAAGAAAAAGAAGAAGAUGCAGCUGCAACAGCAUAGAAAACACGUAUAUUUAAAAAAUAACAUGGGUUUUCACACGACGAUGUCUUGGGUUCAAGUCCUAAAAGUCCACAAAAACUAGUUGAAGAUUGAAGCUCAGGCCUGCAAAAGAAUGGGGUAAAGAGAAGGCGGCAAUGCCAUGGCUGCAAAAGAAACAGUUGCAUGCGACAGAGAAGGCCUCAAUCUCAAACCAUCCGGGUUUACCAUGCCAAGGUAUGGGUCAGACCAUCUCCAUGCCCCCGAACAUCAGCCCAGUAUUAGCAAUAUCAUCACUGCCUCUUUUGAAAAGUUGAAACUUUUCCACAGUAGACACAUCUUGACAAUUCAAACAAUCUUCAAUAAACAAACACUAAGAUCAGAGGAUGUUUGGUUUUACCUCAAGAGAAAUCAGAAACAGUAGUAGUUGUACUUUUGAAGAGGGUUUGUUGGUUUGGUUAAUGGAUAAAUCAUAGGCCAAGCAGAGGGGGCAACCACCCUCAGAAGAAUUCCCUUUUUCUAUCUAUUGGCCUCAUUCUUCAUUCUGGGGUGAACUUCCAUUUUGUGAAGUAAAAGACUCUCUGAUUUAUAAGAGAGAAUUUAACCGAAGAGACCCCUUAAGUCUGCACUUAAGAAACUAAUCCUCCCUCCUCUAUGCUUCGCCUGAAAAAGCAGACAUGCAGAGGCAGAGUAGUCAUAGAUAGAUAGACAGACAAAAAGAAAGAAACAGACAUACAAUACACAUCUAUACACACAAUCAUACAUAAGCAAAAGGGGCUGUUGAUUAGAGCAAAAAAGAUUCACUGGCAUGUUGGAGAUGGUCAACCACCCUGAAAAUCCCCAUUUUCUCCAAUGGCCUCAUUUUUUAGCGAGAAAUUUCAAGGAGAGCAGCAUCUGAAAUGGGGUGUUCAAGGAAAAACUGAAGGACCCAACAGUGUGUUCCGGUCCAGAGAACGGCCAUCCAUUUAAGAGUCAAGACAUCAAAUAGGUGUUCUAUGAAUUACGCAAAGAGAAAGCGACACAUACCAUGACUGCAGACACCGACUAGCAAAUGAUGUCAUACUGGGUUGCCCGAGAUACAGGUCGGAUUUUCUCAAUGCUGUAAAAUAGGGAAAGUGCACAAAUAGCCGCUUUUAGGACCCUAUCUAAAGAGCAAUUGGAAGUUGAGGCUCAGAUCUGCUUGAAAUGGGGCAAAGAGAAGGCGACAACGCCAUGCAAAAGAACCGGUUGCAUGUGAAAGAGAAACCCGAAUCACAAGCCAUCGGGAUUUGCCAUGCCAAGAUACGGGGUGGAUUUUCUCCAUGCCUCAGCCUAGAUUAGUAAUAUCAUUCCUGCCUCUUCUGGAAAAUGUUAACUUUCCAGAAUAGCCUGUUAGGACAACUUCAGCAACAUGCGUUUAAUAGACACAGUUUGGCUCGAGUUCAGGUGGUUUAUGAACCACCCUUAGUCAGGUGUCGAAAUGAAAAUUUCCGGCAAGUUUGAGGGGCCAUCGGUGUAUUCAGCCAUUUCAGAAAGACUUCAAGCUCCGAUAAGUAAUUGAUCUCAGGCAAUGAGUUCUUUGACACUGCCAUGGCUGCAAACCCUAUAAUACGGGCCGCUCCGCCAAGAUACAUAUGAUCAAUAACAAUCAGUCAUCACAGCUCCAUCAUUUUCCUUUUCAAUGUUUCUGCUGUUGCUUUGUCAUAGAUUGCAGCCUGUGAGGAACAUAGCAUAACAGUAACAGAAAACUGAGAGAAAAUAAUCAAAAUAGUCCUCAAUGUAUGGCGUUUGGUUAAACACACACACACAAUUAACAACAGUUGUUUUUUAGAAGUAAAACACACUCCCCAACACACACAUAAUCAACAGUUGUUUUUCAGAACUAAAUUAAACUAGAAAUCAUAGGCAUGCCGGAGAUGGUCAACCACCCUAAAUGAUCCCUUUUCUCCCCAACUGCCUCAUCCUUUUAGCUAGAAGUUUGAUGGGAAUAGCAACAAGGUUACAAGAAAAAUUGAAUAACCCAAAUUGGUUUCACCAACAAGAGAUGCAGGGUUCGAGUCCCCAAAAGUCCAGAUCUUGGUUAGAGUCCCGAGAAGUCCACAUGUACUAGUUGGAAGUUGAGACUCAGAUCUGCGUAAAAUGGGGCAAAGAGAAGACGACAACACGCCAUGGCUGCAAUAGAACCGGUUUGCCCUACCAAGAUACGGGUCGGAUUGUCUUCAACCCCGAUUUAUCAGCCCAGAUUAGCAAUAUCAUCACUGCCUCUUUGGAGAGAUUCGAACUUUUCUUAGUAGGCGUUUGGACAAUUUCAAGCAAUUUUUGACAAACAAAUGCCAAGAUUAGAGGAUAUAUAUCUGGCUUAAGCUCAGAGAGGUCAGAAAACAUGUACUAGUAUUUCUGAAGAGGGUUGUUGGUUUUUUAUUGAUGAAGAAAUCACAGGCCAAACAGAGGGGGCAACCACCCUCCAAGAAUUCCCUUUUCUCUCUGGUGGCAUCAUUCUUCUUACUGGGCUGAACUUCCAUUUUUGUGUAGUAAAACACUAUUAUAAGAGAGAAUCUAAUGGAAGCCUGUAGUCAAGAAAAUAACCCUCCUUUUCUGUGUUUUUUUGCUGCUUUGCUUGAAAAGGCAACCACGUAGGAGCACAGUAUUAACAAAUAGAGAGACAGAUGCAUGCAUACUCAGAAAGGGCUGUUCGUUUGGAGAAACAUAGAAAUCCUUGGCAUGCGGAGAUGGCCAAUCACCCUGAAACCACCACAUUUCUCCAAUUGCCUCAUUUUUUAGCUAAAAACUAGACGGAGAACUGCAUCUGGUAAUUGGGUGUCCAAGAAAAAAACUGAACCCAACAGUGUUUUCCGGUUCAGAGAACGACCAUCCAUUCAAGACCAUCAAAUAGUUGUCAUAAAACAUUUAGGGCUCAGAUUCUUCUUUUUUAUGGAACUGCAAAGAGAAAGGGACAAUGCCAGGCUGCAGACACCGGUUUGCAGAUGAUGCCAUACCGGGUCGCCUCGCCAAGAUACGGGUCAGAUUUUCUCAAAGCUAGUGAACGUGAUAGCCCAAAAAGAAAGAAGCAAAUCAUCAUAGCCCAGUAUUAAAAGUGGCUACCUUGUGUCUCAUUUCUACCUUGUUCCAAAAACAAGGGGUCAUAAAAUUGCUAUUUGUGCAAAUCAGCUGUUGUAGCAGCAGAAAAGAGAUAUAAGCCAAUCCAAACACCCCCAUAGUCCCUUUUCUUUUCUUUUUCCUUCUUUUUUUCUCAUGAAAGGGUUGUUGGUAUUUUAUGAAUGGAGAAUUUAUGGAUACAGCAGAGAGGGGCGACCACCCUUUACAGAAAAUUCCAUCUCUCUCUCUGAUGUCUUGCCACGAACUUGCAGCUAUCAGGGGCAUUUGGGAGGAUCAAUGGGUCACUGGAGGGGACUUCAAUGUUUGUAGAUAUGAAAGCAAAAGAUACAAUUGCGUUAGAAGGUCCAGGGCAAUGAGAUUUUUCUCGGACAUCAUUCAAGACCUUGGCAUCAUAGAUCUACCCCUUCAAGGAGCCAAUUUCACUUGGUUUAGGGGGGAGGAUUCCCUGCAAGCUUCCAGAAUUUAUAGGUUUUUAAUCUCGCCAGAAUGGAAUGACAAUUUCAAAGCAAUCAAACAGUUGGCCCUGCCAAGAGUUGAAUCAGACCACAUGCCUCUCCUGUGGGAAUGGGGUGAUUGGCAAGCAAAUCCCUCCUACUUCAAAUUUGAAAACAUGUGGUUUCAACUUUCAAGCUGACGGCUGAACAAAAUGGAAAAAUGGUGGAACAGUUACUCAAUCAGGGGCAGUCCAGACUUCAUAUUGGUACAAAAUUGAGGAGGCUGAAAAAAGACAUCACAGAAUGGAACAGAGCAACCUUUGGUCAGUUGGAAGCUCAAAGGACCAAGCUCCUGGAAGAGCUAACUAUCCUGGACCAAACAUUUAGAAAACAGACUCUUGACUCAGUCUGAAAAGGAACGAAUAAUGCAAUUAAAGCUCGAGUUAAAAAAACUGGCAAAGGUAGAAGAAGUGUCAUGGAGGCAAAAAUCUAGGUGCUUGUGGCUCAAAGAAGAAGACAGGAACACAAUUUUUCCAAAAGAUGGCCAACUCGCAUAGGAGAAACAAUUGCAUUGAUAAGCUUCUGAUAGGGGCAGAAUUCACUGAAGAUAGCGAUGAAAUCAAAAAUGAAAUCUUAAGAUUCUAUCAAGAUCUGUACACUGAAAAUGAGCAAUGGAGGCCUGCUCUGACCUUCGAAUGUUUGGCCAGCAUAUCACCAGCUGAGAAAGAAUGGCUAGAAAGACCCUUCGAGGAGGAAGAAGUUCUGGCAGCAAUAACAUCUUAUGCUCCAGAUAAAAGCCCAGGUCCUGAUGGAUUCACCAUGGCUUUCUACCAAAAGACCUGGGCUUUCAUCAAAUCUGAAGUUAUGGGGGCUAUUACAUACUUUCAUCAACAUUGCUUCAUGGUUAGAUCAUGUAAUACCUCCUUUAUUGCUCUCAUCCCCAAAAAGAAGGGAGCAAUAGAACUCAAAGAUUUUAGGCCUAUCAGUCUGAUUGAAAGCAUCAACAAAAUUGUUGCCAAAACCCUAGCUGAGAGACUAAAGACAGUUAUUUGGAAGUUGAUUUCUGGAGAGCAAAGUGCAUUCUUGAAGAAUAGACACAUCACAUAUGCCUCACUUGUAGCCAAUGAAAGGCUGGAUGAUAGAUUGAAAAGAGGAAUCCCCGGAAUUCUCUGCAAGCUAGAUGUUGAGAAGGCUUUUGAUAAAGCAAAAUGGUCCUACCUAUUUGCAAUGCUGAGAGCCAUGGGGUUUGGGGAUGGGGUUUGGGGACAGAUGGAUCAGUUGGAUAAAAUACAGCCUUACCACAGUCAAGUACUCAAUACUAGUGAAUAGAUCUCCCGUGGGCUUUUUCUCCCCUCAGAAAGGAAUAAGACAAGGUGAAUGUCACCAUUCUUAUUCAUCCUAGCCAUGGAGGGCUUAAGUAAAAUGCUAAAUAAGGCAAAACAAAUGUAGUGGAUUGAGGGGUCCGGGGUGGGAAACAACAUAGAUACCUCAGUCACAGUCACUCAUUUACUCUAUGCAGAUGAUACCUUAAUAUUUUGUGGAGCUGAGAGAUCUCAGAUGCAAUUCUUGAACUUGACUAUACUUCUGUUCGAAGCAAUCUCAAGGCUGCACAUCAAUAUGUUGAAGAGCAUGAUCUACCCAGUGAACGAGGUCCCUAACUUGGAGGAACGGGCUAACUUAAUGGGUUGCAAUAUAGGCUCACUUCCCACAACUUACUUAGGCCUCCGACUAGGAGCAAAAUACAAGGCAACUGAGAUAUGGAAUUGAAGUAAUAGAGAGAGUGGAGAAAAAAUUGGAAACAUGGAAAAUGCAGUAUCUGUCUAUGGGUGGUAGACUAACUUUAAUCAGCAGUGUUAUAGACAGUAUCCCCACCUACAUUAUGUCCCUCUUCCCUAUGGCAAGUAAGGUGCAGAAACAACUGGAUUUAGGAGAUCAUUCCUAUGGGAAGGAAACAGUGAAGGUCAUAAAUUCCAUUUAGUGAAAUGGCCAAAAGUGUCAUGCUAAAAAACCAAGGUGGUUUGGGAAUCAGAGACUUGACCAAGCACAACAAGAGUCUGCUUAUGAAAUGGUUGGUGGAGGUAUGCUGAAGAAUCAACAUGCACAUGGAAGAAGGUAGUUAAUGCCAAAUAUGGGGUACAAGGUGGUUCACCAAGCAAAAUAGAGCUCCACAUGGAGUUGGCCCAUGGAAGCACAACAACAACCUGCAAGAAGCAUUCUUUCAAGAAGUAUAUUAUAAUUUUGGGAAUGGCAACAGCAUUAAAUUCUGGAAGGAUAGAUUGCUCAACAAUCAACCCCUGAAGGACUCUCAUCCAUAGCUCAGAUUGCCUCUGACCCUAACUCUUCUAUAGCAUAAAAUAGAGAAGGGAACACAUGGGACCUCCACUUCAGAAGAAACAUGCAGGAUUGGGAGCUAUAUCAGCUAUUAGACCUAUACAGAACACUUGAAGAUGCCAGAGGGAAUCCUCAAGUCUCAGACAGCUUAAGGUGGGGAAAACUCUUAAAAAGGAAUCUACAUUGUUAAGGCAGGAUAUAGCAAACUAAGUGCCUCGAAUGAUAUGAUUGAAUCUUGGCCAUGGAAGCUAAUAUGGAAGACAAAGCUACCAACAAUUAAGUGUUUCUCCUGGAAAGCCCUCUAUGAAGCUAUUCUGACCCAGGAUAACCUUUGUAGAAGGAAUUUUCAGCUGGCAAAUAGGUGCCACAUGUGCAGGCUAAACUCUGAGUCGGUCAACCACCUGCUACUCCAUUGCACAGUGGCAUCAGAUCUUUGGAACAUGUUCCUUGCUCUCUUUGGUAUCAGCUGGACAAUUCCUCACACCAUAAGGGAAGCAGUACUUAGUUGGAGCCUAUGGGAAGUUGAUAUAUCCAUCAAGAAGAUCUGGCAAAUGAUCCCGGCAUGUAUUUUUUGGUGUUUAUGGCAGAGAGGAAUCGAAGAUGUUUUGAUGACAUUUCAACCUCCAACGGUCAACUGAAGUCAAAAUGUUUAAUGAGUCUUUUUAGUUGGGAGUAACCUUUCUCCUGUAACUAAUAUUAUUCCCCUCUUAGACUUCAUAGUUCUGUCUCAAUGGUUUAGUGAACCAUUGCUUUUGCUCUUGGUUAACUCAAGGUUCUACAUUUUUUUGUUCCUAUGGAGUUAACCAAGAUUUAUUUUGUAACCUCUUGCAUCUUCUUGAUGCCUUUUAAUACAAAACAUUUUCCUCCAUACCAGAGACACCCUAAAUAACAACAUAUUACACCAGGUACCAACUUUCCAAACAAGCUAUUAAAGAGUAAAUAGAGGCUCAAAACUUUCGAUAAGACAAGAGAAUGAAGACAUUGCCAUGGCCACGAACGCCGGUUGCAUGCACAAAACUCACUUUCCAUCCGGGUUGCCCCGCCAAGAUACGAGUCCCUUUAUUUCUCUUGCUCAUUCAUUUGCUCAGAGAAAGAAGAGAAGAAAGUAUCAUCACAGCGCCAGUUUCUUCUUCUUGUUUUAGGUGAGGAGUUGCAGAGAUGAAUUUAGUACAGCACCAAAACAUAAGGAUCGUUUUGAGUCAAAAAAACUUAAAACAAGAACCAGAGUACGAUUGGUUGGUAGCUAUUUAGGUUAAUUCUUUGAUUUUAAAGGGCUGUUUGAUUUAUUUAUUUUUCAUAUGAGAAGUCACUGGAGUAGCAGAGAGGGGCAACAACCCUUGAAGAAUUCCUCCUCUAUGCAAGCCUCCUCUCUUCUCUUUGAGCUUUGUGACUGCAGAUUGUUUCAAAGUCUUGUCCCUUAAAACACCAUUUUCUACUUUUGCCCUCUAGUUGAUACUUACUUACUGCUUAUUAUGCAAUAGUUUAGCCUCGACAUCCCAGUAAUUGGCAUUUUGCUGAUGAAAGGGCUGUUAAGCUUCCUCGUUCCAACAAAGCUACAGGAAAAUUGAUUAGCUAAAUUGAACUGCAGAGAAAGAGAGUAACCACCUUAAGAAAAUCUCAACCUUUCUCGAGUUCCACAAAAAGCCUCGUUCUUUGAAAACAAACAGAUACUUGGAAGGCUAAGAUUCACCUUUUCUAAGACAUAAGCUAAACCUCGACAUGGCAGUAAGCUUAAGAAGACCAUCAAACGGUUGUAGACUUCAAGGCUCAGAUUUUGCUGUGUAUACGAACCAUGCAAAGAGAAAGUGACACACGCCAUGGCUGCAGACAGUGGUUUGCAAUGAUGCCAUACCGGGUCGCCCCGCCAAGAACCGGGUACGAUUUUCUCAACUGCAUUCACUGAGAACGCAAAGUGCUUUUGGUUUGAAGUCAUGUUACCUGAUAACAAAAGCUACUAAGUGCAAAACAAGGCUUUUUAGCACAGUUUAGGGGUAAAUUUGGACCUUUUUCCUAUACAAAAACGGCUGUUGGUUAGAGCUAAAAGGAAAAAGAAAUCAUUGGCGUGAUGGAGAUGGUCAACCACCCUAAAGAAACCAAUCUUCUAUCCGAAUUGUCUCAAUUUUUUUAGCUAAAGAUUUGAUGGAGAACUGUAUCUGAAAAUUGCUUGUUCAAGAUAAAACUUUUAGGGCUCAGGUUUUGCUGUAUAUACGAGCAUGCAAAGAGAAAGAAACAACGCCAUGGCUACAGACCGAUUUGCAUAUGAUGCCAUACCAGGUCACCCCGCCAAGAUACAGGUCGGAUUUUCUCACUGCCUUGAGUGGAUAGCCCAGAAAGAAGCAAUCAUCAUCAUAGCCCAUUUCAGGUGCUGUGAAGAUCAACAUCAGUUAAGGCCUUCCAAAUGCAGGGCAAUAAAAGCAGCUAUUUGUCGAAAUGAGUUGUUGUAGUUUGUUGUAGUAGCAGAAGCAAAAGCAGAGAAAAGAAGAGCUAGGGGUGGCAAACAGGCGGGUAGGGUCAGAUAUGAGCGGGUCAAAAGGGGUAAUUUUUAAAAACGAAUAAAUUAUCCGACCCGGCCCGUAUUUGAGACGGAUAAAAACGGGUUUAUCCGGUGGAUAAUAUUGAUAUCCAUAUUAUCGAUGCUUCUUAAAUAUGAUCACUUAUGAGAGAAUUCCUAGUCUUCCAAACUUGAGAAACUCCAAUUUGAGGCUUUACAAAUAUAAAAGUUAAACACAUUAGUUAUCCAUUGUUUAUCCAUUUGGUUAACCAUUUUCUAGGUGGAUAAUAUGGUUCUUUAUCCAUAUUCGAUCCGUUUUUAAAUGGUUCAUUAUCCAACCCAUUUUUUGAUGGAUAAUAUGGGUGGAUAACUGUUUUCUUUUAAUCAUUUUGCCACCUCUAGGAAAAGCAUAGCCCCUUUCACAGAAGUAGACACUCAACAGAUGUUGUUUGGAUAUUUUGUUUGUCGCUUUUUUUUUCUCAAAGGGCUGUUGGUUUCAUGAAUGGAGAAAUCAUGGACGUAGCAGAGAGGGGCAACCACCCAUUACUUAAAAUCCCAAAAUCCCAACUCUCUGAUGUCGCUAAAAUUUGGGCCAAACACUAAUAGAUUCAAGAGUACCUGAUUUCAAUUCCCAGAAUUUGAGGCUCAGAUCUGAAUUUAUAUCAGGCAAAGAGAAGGCAACCACGCCAUGGCUGCAAAAUCACCAGUUGCAUGCACAAGAGGGAAUUUGCCAGACCAAGAUACGGGUCGAUUGUCUCAAUUCCCGAUUUUGUUUCAAAUCACUGCCUCUUUUGUAAAAUUACUCAAAAUCAAGAAAAAUAAACAUACACAGGCUAGAAGUAAAAAAAUCAUAGGCUUGAUGGAGAUGGUCAAUCACCCUCAAAAAAUCCCUUUUUUUCUCCAAUUGCCUCAUUUUUUGAACUGCAUCUGAAAUGGGCUGUUCAAGAAAAACUGAAGAACCCAAUUGGGUUUUUAGGGCUCAGAUUUUGCUGUAAUUUUAUGAAAAGGGACCACACUGUGGCUGCAGCACCAGUUUGCAUAUGAUUGCCAUACACGGGUUGCCCCGCCAAGAUACGGGUUGGAUCUUUCUCCACACAUGUAAAAGUAGAUAGCCUAGGAAGAAGCAAAAGAUCAUCAUAGCCCAUUUCAGUAUCCUAUUUCUGCAAAUCAGUUGUCACCUUCGAAAUAUAAGAGGUCAUAAAAUUGGCUAUUUGUGCAAUCAGCUGUUGUAGCAGAAGAAGCAGAAACAUUUUCCUUUUCUUUUCUUUUUUUCUCAAAGGGUUGUUGCUUUAUUGAAUGGAGAAAUCAGGGACAUGGAGAGAGGGGGCAACCAUCCAUUACUGGAAGUCCCAUUUCUCUCUUUGAUGCCUCAUUCUUCCUUUCUAGGCUAAAGCAACUGCUGGUUGAGGCUCAGAUCUGUGUAAAAUGGGGCAAAGAGAGGACGACAACGCCAUGGCUGCAAAAUGAAUCAGUGCACGAUACAGGUUUACCCUGCCAAGAUACGAGUCGGCUCCAUGCCUCAAAUUUCAGCUUGGAUUAGCAAUAUCAUCACUACCUCUUUGGAAAGAUGGAAACUUUUCUAUAGCAAUUUGGACAUAUUCGGUUCACAUAAAUUGGAACGGAAAAAGCAGAUGCCUUUGUGCAAAGCACAUAAGAAACUACCUCACAAACUCCCUGCCUUUGCCUAGCCAAGAAACGAAUCAGCUCAAAAAUCUGAUUUUCAAGCUUCCGGGAGAACAUCAUCAUAGCCUCAUUCACAAAGUUCAGGGUUAAGGAUUCAGGUUUUCCAGGACAAGUUUAGGAAGCAGAAUAUGUAUUUUCCCUUACUGCCAUAACCAUGCCUAUCUAUCUUUACUAGGUAGGGUAAGGUCUGCGCACACACUCCUCCUCAGGUCCCACUUGGUUUGUUGUUUGUUUGCCAUAACCAUGGAUAUCGUUAUCGCCGUCGUCGUCAUCAUCAAGAGCAUAACUGGCAUUAGCUGAUGAAAGGGCUGUUACUCUUUAUCAUUGUAACAAAGGUACUGGAAAAUUCAUCGGCUAUACUGGACUUCAGAGAAAGAGACUAACCACCCUUAGAAAAUGUCAACCUUUCCGACUUCCAUAAAAAAGUCUCAUCUUUGAAAGCAUACAGAUACUUGGGAGGCUCAGAUUAGCCUCUUCUCAGGCAUAAGCUAAACUCUGCCAUGGCUACAAGCUGAAUGAGAAGCCUUUGUGAGACACUUAAACCAAAUAGCUCACAUAUCUCAUAAGACCAACCAAAAGCUGCCACGCCAAGAUAUAGCAAAGCUCAUACAAGCUAAAUGAGAAGCCUUUGUGAGACACGGAAACCAAAUAGCUCACAUAUCUCAUAAGACCAACCAAAAGCUGCCACGCCAAGAUAUAGCAAAGCUCAACCACCUGAUGACUAACGAGUGACUUAUUUUGCUAAAGAGUGGUCUGAAAUUGGGAAAUAUUGAGUGAUUAUUGGCUGCUAAGAAUGACAGAGAAGAGCAACCACUCAAACAACUCCCCACAACUCUCUGAAUCCAGCAGCUUCAGACCUGAACUAAUGAAAUUUUUACCAUUUUCAUUUGACCUUCUGCUUCAUGUUAUAGUUCUCUUGAACCUCCCAAAAAUAUGGACCUCAUUGUAAAGUAAAUGGCCGAACCAAACCAUCGACACCCCUAGUAUGUUAAGAAGGACAAGUGGUAUAGAGGAAGAAUAGUACCCUGCCACAGUACAGAACCAGGUUCGAAAUUUUCCAUCAAAAAAAAUAUGUAUAGAUGCGCACCAUGCAUGCUACAAUCUCUCCAGGUUACCCCGCCAUGGCUGCAACCUCUCCCCGUUACCCCGCCAUGGCUGCAACCUCUCCCCGUUACCCCGCCAUGGCUGCAACCUCUCCCCGUUACCCGCCAUGUAUGUUUCGAUCGAGGCAUUUUCGUGAGUGUAUCAGAAAAUGGUGCUUAGGACAAUGGAAGACCGCCUCCUUAGCGUUAUCAUCACAGCCUUAAAUUCUCCUUGCUGUUACAUUGAUCUGUUGCUGUUUGGUUCAUAAAACAGCCCAACAGUAGCAAUAACAGGAGAAACAGAAGAAAUUCCUGGAGCAACAACGACAACAUGGCUAUAGAAAAAGAUCCAAUUUUUACAUGCAUAUACUACAAUUCUCUCUGAUACCUCAUGUGUUUCACCAAACAAUAGGUCCUGAGUUCGAAUCCUGGAAAGUCCCUCUCUUAUCUAUGCUUUGCCUGAAAACGCAGGAGCAAAGUAGUCACAGAUAAAGAGACAAAAAGAGAUAUACAUACACACACACACACACAUGCCAAAAAUUGCUGUUGAUUAGAGCAAACUAGAAAUCAUAGGCAUGGCGGAAAUUGUCAAGUUCUUCGAUUGCCUCAUUCUUUGAGCUAAAAGAUUUACGGCUCAGAUUUUGCUGUAUACUACGAACAUGCAGAGAGAAAGCAGUCACGCCAUGGCUGCAGACACCGGUUACCCGGUUUGCCCACCAAGAUAUGGGUCGGAUUUUCUCGAAGUAGAACAUUUUGCUAGUUGAGGGGUAAAUUUGGACUUUUUUCCUAUACAAAAAGGGCUGUUGGUCAAAGCUGAUACAAACUAGCAAUCAUAGGCAUGCUGGAGAUGGUCAACCACCCUAAAAAAGAUCCCAAUUUUUUCUCCAAUUGCCUCAUCUUUUAGCUAAAAGAUCCCAGUUUUUUCCCAAUACCCUCGUUUUUUUAAGCUAAACCCCUCCAUUUUUUCUCCAAUUGCCUCACUUUUUUCAGCUAAAAAUCCCGAUUUUUUUCUCCACUUACUUCAUUUUUUAGCUUAAAAAAUCUCAUUUUUCUCCAAUUGCCUCAUUUUUUUUAGCUAAAAAUCUCGAUUUUUUCUCCAAUUACUUCAUUUUUAGCUAAAAAAAUCUCAGUUUUCUCCAAUUGCCUCAUUUUUUGAGCUAAAAAUCCCCUUUUUUUCCAACUGCCUCAACUUUUGAGCUAAAAAAUUGAUUAGAAACUGCACCUGAAAAUUGGGUUUUCAAGAAAAAACUAAAAAACCCAAAAUGGGUAUCUAGGGCUCAGAUUUUGCUGUAUAUUCUAUGAACAUGCAAAGAGAAAGCAGACAUACGUCAUGGCUGCAAGACACCGGUUUGCAAAUUACUGCCAUACACGGGUCGCCCCGCCAAGAUACGGGUCUGUUUUUUCUCAACGCAUGUAAAAUAGAUAUAGCCCAGAAAGGAAGAAGCAAAUCAUCAUCACAGCCCAUUUCAGUAUCCUAUUUUGGCAAAUCAGUUGUCACCUUUGUGAAUACAAAGGAACAUAAAAGUGGCUACUAGUGCAAAAUCAGCUGUUGUAACAGCAGAAGCAGAAAAAGGAAGAGCAUAAUAGCCCCUUUUUCUAGAGAUUCAAGGGUAACCAAAUUGACGGAGAAAACUUUUCUGUUGACGAGAAUGGCUAUUUGUGCAAAUAAUAUUUUCCUUUUCUUGUUCUCUUUUUCUCAAAGGGUUGUUGGCCUUUUAACAAUGGAGAAAUCAUGGACAUAAUGCAGAGAGAGGGCAACCACCCUUUACUGAAAAUCCCAUUUCUCUCUCAGAUGCCUUCUCAAUCUUUCUUUCUGGGCUAAAAUUAGUGAGGGUUUUGGCUGUUUAUAUAAAUAGAAACAAUGUCCAAUUUCCAAGUUCUUUUGCGCUUGUCAUGGCCGACCAAGGGCAAUUUAAGGCUGUAUUCGGUUCCAGUUCUGGGUCUAUUUGGGUAAACGGUUUUGGUUUUGGCGGUUCCCGGUUCUGGCGGUUCCGGUUCUGGCGGUUCCCGGUUCUGGCGGUUCCGGAGCCNNNNN
This 80367-nucleotide long non-coding RNA is filed under the name Nicotiana benthamiana. Its description in RNAcentral is "long non-coding RNA (NBEN_LNC005745)". Lineage: Eukaryota; Viridiplantae; Streptophyta; Magnoliopsida; Solanales; Solanaceae. The record is from RNAcentral.